This 69183-nucleotide long non-coding RNA is filed under the name Arachis ipaensis. Its description in RNAcentral is "long non-coding RNA (AIPA_LNC002595)". Lineage: Eukaryota; Viridiplantae; Streptophyta; Magnoliopsida; Fabales; Fabaceae. The record is from RNAcentral.
GGUGGAACACUUGCCAAUGAGUUAUAAGUUAUAACUCAAACGGCAUAGUCUCCCCAUACUCAAUUAAGAGGUUGUGGAUUCGAGUCUCGUAUCUUUGAUUAAAAAAAAAAAACAACAACAACAACUUCUCUGAAAUUGUAGAAUUGAGGACAGAGCUGCAGAAAAAAGCUUUUCAUAUAACUGUCACUGAAUUACACCGCCAGCGACAUGGAUUCCAAUUCUGCUUCUGCACUCGAUGAUGAUCCUUCCGAGGAUUUUGAGAUUACAGGGCUGCACGACAAGCUCAAUUUAGGGCACACUCCGUCCUCUUCUCCCCCCUUCAUCGCUCGCAAGAAAAGACGCGCCAGCACCACCCUCAUCUCCAUCUCUCCCGAAAACUUCCGCCAGGUAGUUAUUCAAUUCAGCAACGGUCGUUUCCCUUUCAUCUCACACUGUUCCCUCUUCCCUCCCAGCUACGAAUUCUCCAAACAAGAACUGGUUUCUCUGUGGGUAGCCCAGGGACUCUUACAGUGCUCCACCAGGCAGCAGGAGCACGAUGCAGCCCAAGUCUUCGAUUCGCUCGUCUCCAGCCAAGUUAUUGUUCCCUCGAGAUCUGAUCCGUCCGUGGAUUUCGUCCACGGGAAGACGAGGAGGUUACUCUAUAGAAUCAACCAGGAUAAGAUCACGUUCUCAGUGCUUGAAUACCAUAUGGUAUUGGAUGCAAAUUGGGAUAAAGUACCUAAGAAUGUGAAGCAUUUGUCAGUGGAUUCAAAGAGUGUGGCUUGCGCCUCGGGUUUUGAUGUAAUUGAGAGGUUUGAAAAUCUGAACACGCUAUUUCUUGUUCCUGUGCCUGGGUUUUAUGUUGAACGCAUUCCGCGAAAUCUUUUCUUGUGCCUUAAGGGAUUGAGGUCUUUGAAUUUUAGUAGGAAUCUUAUAUCAGAGCUGCCGAGUUCUAUCGGGAGUUUGAAAUCGCUUCGGUAUCUUGAUUUGUCUUAUACGCCCAUUAAACGCUUGCCUGAUUCGCUAGUUAGUCUUUGUAAUUUGCAAACUCUUAGGCUUAGGGGAUGUUUAGAGUUAGUUGGGUUGCCUAAAGGGAUUGGGAAGCUCAUUAGUUUGAGGCAUCUUGAGCUUGAUGUUGUGAGGCAACUGAAAUCAAUGCCUCCUUGGAUGGGUAAUUUGAUCAAUCUUCAAACUCUGCCGGCAUUUCUUGUUGGCAAGGAUGAUGGGUGCCGGAUUGUGGAGUUAAAGAAAAUGAUCAAUCUUACGGGUGCAUUUUGCAUUUCGAGAAUUGAGAAUGUCUCUGAGUUUUGAGGAAGCAAUGGAAGCUGAUUUGAGCAGCAAGAAGUUCCUUUGUAGGAUACUGUUAAGAUGGACCGAGCCAAGGGUUGCCGAUGCUAGGAAAGAAGAGCAAAUCCUUGAAUGCUUAAGACCCCCUCUGGGCCUUGAAGAGUUGGCAUUGCUAUGCUAUGGUGGUUCUAAGCUUCCGAGUUGGAUUGCUGAUCCUUGUUAUGAUUGUAUGGUUGAUAUGACUCUACAUAACUGUUUGAAUUGUGAACACCUUGAGCCCAUUGGUAAAUUGCCAUGUCUUCAAUUUUUGCAUAUCAAAGAAAUGUGUAAGCUUCAGAGAAUAGAUGAAAGAUUCUGUAGAGAUGGAAAAGGUCAACAGUCUCAUGCGUUUCCGACCUUGAAAGAACUUACAAUUGAGGCCAUGCCUAAAUUGGAAGAGUGGGUAGGAGUUCAAGGUGGUGACUUCCCAUGUUUACAAAAGCUUAAGGUGGAACAUUGCCCCAGCUUAGCCUCGCUUCCACUGCUGUCAUGCCUCUAUUCGCUUAAGCAUUUAGAAAUGAAUGAUUGUCCUGUUAUUUCAUCUUUGCCUGACGGAGGAGUAUCUGCAUCUCUUGAAUUUCUCUUUAUCAGAGAUUGCUCUGAGCUGAUGAAAAAUUGCAGCAAAACAGAAGGAAAAGAUUGGGUUAAGAUAGCUCAUGUUUCCAAUGUAUUUAUUGAUGAUGAACAACUCUCUUUUAAUUGAUAAUGGCUUUAAGCAGGUAACUUCUAAGUGCUGGUGAUAGAGUGAAAGAGAAUCAAGAAUCUGUUAGAAUAACAGAUUCUGUAUCAAGUAGUUUUACUUUCCAUUCGUUAGUUAGUUAUAGAUAGAUAGUGUUAAGACUAUAUAUAGCUUGUACUACUCCUCUGAGAGAACAGAUUGAAGUUGCAACAAUUCAAUGCAACUUCACUCAUCAAUUCUCUUAUUUCUUCAUUUUUUUCUCUUCUGUUCCAUAAACUCAUCUCCUACAGCUGGUGAAUCUAGCUUCUAAACUAUGCUGUCAAAAUCUUGUAUACAUGUGAUUAAUCUUCCCGGAAUUCAUGUCUCCUCCAUUUCCGAAACUACUCAUUAAACAAAAAAAAUGAAGGGUAACUCAGUUUAUUAACCAAACAUGACUCGAGCACCAAGAAAUAAAGUUUUUUUUUUUUUCUCUUUUUUAAGCUUUACAUAAAUGAGUUUGACUUACCUUUGACUUUGAAANNNNNNNNNNNNNNNNNNNNNNNNNNNNNNNNNNNNNNNNNNNNNNNNNNNNNNNNNNNNNNNNNNNNNNNNNNNNNNNNNNNNNNNNNNAUAAUAGAUUCAAUAUAUAUAUUUGGUUGGCAUUAGAGUUGGUUGAAGAUAGAGUGAGAAUGGAAAGUGUUCUGUUUCAAACAGGCAUAGUCUCUGCUUCUUUGCAGGUUAUCCUUGACAGAUUCACAAGCUUUGCUCAUAAAGAGCUUUCUCUUCUCUUUGGUUUUGACAACAACGACCUCAACAAGCUUGAAAGGACACUCUUCAAGGUUCAGUCUCUUGUUGACAAUGUUAGAGCCAUUAAUCACUCAUCUUCUUGUUCUUCUCAUAAUAAGGCCCAACACCUUUGGCUCAGGGACACUCAGAAUGCCUUGCAUGAAGCUGAGGACUUUCUAGAUGAACUUGCCUUGGAAAUCUCAAAACUUGCUUCUGCUGAUGUCAACGUUGACUUCACCAACAAGGAUCAGGUCAGGAACUUGGUCUUUUCUAAGUUUAAGUUUAGUAUUCCCUCUCAGAUGGUUAAGAUGCAGAAUAAACUACAAGAGUUAGCUAGGGAAAUGGAUGGUUCCUAUGUAGAUGAAUUGCACAAAUUGGGUAUGCCUUGUUCUACUGUAGGGAAUUUUCAAACUAGUUCGUUAUUGGAUGAGUCAGUUGUGAUUGGAAGAGAGAGUGAUAAGAGAGAAGUUAUAAAAUUGUUGUUGGAUGAGGAAAUGGGGGGAAGGUCGAAUCUUUCAGUGAUUGCGAUUGUGGGCAUGGGGGGUGUGGGAAAAACUACUCUUGCUCAACUUGUCUACAAUAAUGUUGAUGUGGAUAGCAACUUUGAUUUGAAAAUUUGGGUAUCUGUUUCUGUUGAGUAUAACAUGGAAAGAGUCACAAGGUCAAUUGUUGAGUGUGCUUGUAGGAAAAAGGUGAAGUUGUCUGCUUUAGAACCAAUUCAAAUGAGACUUGAAGAAAUACUUAACGGAAAGAAGUUUUUAAUAGUAUUAGAUGGCUUCUGGGAUGAGGAUGAACAUAAUUGGGAUGUGUUGUGCUUGCCAUUGAGAGUUGCUGCUCGAGGGAGUAGAGUACUAGUGACGACUCGAAGCAUGCUUGUUUCUAGAAUUGUUGCCACUGCUUCUCCUUACCAGUACCAUUUGCAGACUUUGUCUGAUGAAGAUUGUUGGGAAUUGCUUAAACAAAGAGCAUUCUCAAACAUGAGACAUGAUACUAACAAACAAUUAGAAUUGAGGGAAACUGGCUUCAAGAUUGCACAAAAAUGUGAUGGGCUACCACUGGCAGCUAGAGUUCUCGGAAGCACCCUACGCUUUAGAUCCGAUGAAAUGGAGUGGGAUGACAUCCUGAAAAGCAACACAUGGGACAUUCCAGAGAAUCGAAGUCAAGUAAUUCCAGCAUUGAAACUGAGUUAUGAUCUUUUGGAUGCUUGCUUGAAAAGGUGUUUUGCCUAUUGCUCUUGAUGGUUUCAGUGGCUAAGAGAAGGGGGGGUUGAAUCUUAGCCCCCUUUUUGCUUGCUAAUGCUUGUGCUUCAAGUAACAAUGUUAUUCAACAUAUUUUAUUUUGAAAUGUUGAAUGCUUGAUUUAUGAGCAGAAUGUGAUGAUAAUCAAAACUCAUUUGUUAUCAAUAAAUUGAUUAUCUGCUCAAACAUACACAUAUCAACAAAACACAAACCAGUGUUGUUCAGAAAGUUUCCAAAUAUUUUCCAGUCCAGAUAUCAGAGCAAUGUCAUUCAAAAUAAGGAAAAUAUUUUCGAAACACAUAUUAGCACAUCAAAGCAUGGCAGUUGUUAAAUAACACAUCUUAAAGGAACUGCCAAAUAUAAAUCUUCAAACCAACAGGUUUAUCAAACAUGAACCAAUCAGCCAAUUAUAUCAAACAUCAUAAUAACCAAAUGCCAAAUGCAGUUCAUACAGCAAGGAUCAUAAUAGAACAAAAAUCAGCCAAGCAUCACAAUAUAUUAAACAUUAUAAUAAGCCAAAUGCCUUCUUUGAACAAGGAUAAUCAUGAAUUUUCAAUUUGAAAAUUUCAACCCUUGUCCCCUGUUUUUCCAGCCCCUGUUUCAUUCCAAUUUCAAUUUUGGAAUUUAAAUUUCCUCCCCCUUUUGGCAUCAAGGGACAUAGAAGACCUGCAACAAGAGAAAUGAGCAAUACAUAAUAUUUAUAACAAAGCAGUAAUUGUUCAGAGUAUCAUACGGCAGGGAGUACUGCCUUUUGGUGGAUGAUCUUGUUGUUACACCAUGAGAGGGAUCACCAAUGAUGAAAUCAUGAGGAUAACCCCUCAUAGAUUUCCAUUCUCUAGGCUUUCGGAUGGGUGUAGUACUUUGAUGAUCUUCUGGUGGUCUCACUGUUUCAGUUGCUCGUGCCUGUUCAGGAGACAAAAUGGAAAUAUCUCCUCCAAUCUGACGAGACAAAACCGGGCUGACAGAUUCUUCACUUUGAACAGUUUUGGGGUUUUCUUUACUUGUUCCAGCCUCUUCACAAUCUGAAUCAAUAUCCUUCACAAUACUGGGAAUUAAGUUAGAAUCACAAAAAGUAACAUGUAUGGAUUCCUCUAUUGUCCUAUGCUCCUUGAGAUAAACUCUAUAGGCCUUACUUGUGGUGGAAUAUCCAACAAACAUUCCUUCAUAUGAUUUUGGAUCAAAUUUUCCAAGGUUUUUCUUAUUGUUGAGCAUAAAACAUUUGCAUCCAAAAAUAUGAAAAUACUUACACAGAAGAAAAAGCAAUUCCUUUCUUUUUUGAAUCUUUUUUCAAAUAGGUGUUUUCAAAAGCAAGAAGAUUUCCUCUCAAAUCAUCAAGUGUCAUGGAGUCUAAGCUACUACUCUCAGAAAUAAUUAAAGCUUUAGUCUCCCACUCUUUUGUGAGACAUCUCAACACUCUUCUCACUAGCACAGAAUCAGAAUGUGUAAUUCCCAGAGCAUCUAAGCCAACAAUGAUAGCAUUGAAACGUUCAAAUCCCUUGAUGCUUCAUGAUGAUGAUGACUUCAUCUGCUUUAAUCUCUGCCUUCAACCAUCACUUCGCCACUCUAGCUACUCCCUGUGGUGGUUGAGCAGAAUCAAAGACAAGCCAUGCUUCAAGAAUCUCCCUUGCUGGCCGAGAUCUUCUUCUUCCUUUUUGAGCAUGGAGAAGCCAAGAUUACCUCACCAAAUCUGUCCAUAAAUGGUGACAAUCUCAGCCACAGCUCAUUUUUAUUUUAGUAUGUUUUCUUGCCAUCAUUGUGAUGGUCUUUAGGCUUGCUUUCUCUUCCUUUCGGUAGCUUAUUUUUGCUUCCAUGGCUACCAAUGUUUCCUGUGUAAUAACCGAAGAGAGAAAGAAGUGAGAGAGAAGAAAGAGUCUGAAGAAAAGCAAUAGUGGUUAAACUAAUUAAUUGAAGAAUAUCUUGCUUUUGCUUCCCUUAGUUGGCGUGUAGCAAUGAUGCCCUUUAGUCAAAUCAAUCUUCUCUCUCUUGCUUAUAUUCCCAAUGUUUAAAUUGGCUUUGAAAUCCUUUCAGGAAGAGUAAUGGAAUCCGUUGGAAGCAUUUGAGAAUUUGUUAUUCUUUGCUUCAUGGAUUCGGACAAGGCAUGAGUAACACUCAUGGAAUUGGGCUUGGUUGCUAUAAUCAAUUUGAUCUUGGCCCAUUAAUAACAUUUGCUUUCCUGAUAAAACUUGGAGCAUGCAUAAAACAAAUGGAAGGCAUGUAACACACUUGGGCUUAGAGCAAUCAAAAUUAUUUGGCCCAAGUAACAUUAAAUCAGCCACAUUCAUUUUUUGUUAUUAAAACCAAGGCUGAGUGAAAUUUUGGGCUGGCACAAUAAAUUUGUUUUCGGCCCAAUAUUAAUCCUGCACAACAAAAUUAUUUUAAUUAACACAUUAACCAAGAUUAGCUUAAUAAUUUUGCUGUUAAUAAUGUUUGAUCAUCAUCAAUUUAGUUUAGAGUUUUCCAAACUCAUCAGCUCUAUUUUUCCUGCAAGUUUUGAAUUCAAGAAGGAUGAUUUGGUCCAAUUGUGGGUGUCAGAAGGCUUUGUUCAACCAAGAGGAACAAGAAGAGCUGAAGACAUUGGCAAACAGUAUUUUGAUAUAUUAUUUCAAAGGUCCUUCUUUCAAUGUUCACACCAAGAUCUUCAAAAUCAGCCAGUGUAUAAAAUGCACAAGCUCAUUCAUGACCUUGCUCAGUUUGUUUCUGAUGAAGCUUGUCUUAGAAUGGAGGAUGGCAAGUCAUUGCCAUGGGGUGAUUUGAGAUGUGUCAGACAUUCAUCUUUGGUAUGUAAAGACAUUAAGGUAGAAAGUCUGAAGGCUUUCCUUAAGUGUGGUCGUCUGAGAACUUUCAUUCUGUUGUCUCAAGGUGUGUGCCAAAUGGAUCAAAUCCCUUAUGAGUUUUUUUCUGAAUCUCAGAUACAUAAGGGUGCUGAAUUUGAGCUUUUCCAAUAUUAGUGAGCUGCCUAACUCAAUUGGAACUUUGAAACACCUCCGACACCUUGAUGUCUCGGAAACUCAUGUUGAGAAGCUGCCUGAAUCAGUAACAGAUUUAAAUGGGAUAGAGAUACUUAUGCUCAACAACUGCUUCAAACUACUUCAGUUGCCUAAAAAGAUGAAAAAUCUUACCAACCUCAGGCACCUUGAAUUGGACAUAAAACGCCAAAUUAGUUCUAUGCCAAAGGAAUUUGGAAAGUUAACAAACCUUCAAACCUUAUCGGCGUUCAUCGUAGGCAAAGAGAAAGGACAAUGCAUAGAAGAGCUUAAAGACAUGAGAUUCCUUCAUGGGUCCAUAUGUAUAGUCAAUCUUGAAAAUGUGACUAAUAUGAGAGAAGCCGUCGCGGCUAAGUUAGAACAAAAGCCAUGCUUGGAAGGCUUGGAGUUGCAAUGGAAUGAGUUUAAAGAUGGCCUAGAAGAGCAACAAAUCUUGGCUGGUCUUCAACCUCAUAAUAGGAUCAAAUGGUUAACUAUAACAGGUUAUGGUGGUUUUAUGUUUCCAAGUUGGUUGGGAAACCCAACAUUUUGCAGGAUUGAGAGAAUUCUUUUGCAAAAUUGUCGUUAUUGUAAAGUAUUCCCUUCUCUUGGCCAGCUUCCAAUGCUUAAACAUCUUUAUGUGGAAGAGAUGCAUGAUUUGACACGCGUGGAUGAUGAGUCCCAAGGUCCAAACAGUUUUCCAUCUUUGCAGUCUCUUACAUUUCAUAAUCUGCAGAACUUGCAACAAUGGAAGGAUUUGAAAGCAGGGGAUAUGCCUAACCUCACUCAUCUUACAGUAAUAGAUUGUCCAAGCUUGAACUUUCUUCCUUCACUUCAUUAUCUUACAAGACUUGAGAGCUUAGAGAUUUCUCAAUGUCCCAAGCUUCAAUGCUUACCAGCAGAAGGUUUACCGGAUUCACUGGAAUGUCUAAUCAUCAUAGACUGUUCUGUUCUGAAGGAAAGAUGCAGAGUUCAUGAAGGUGAAGAUUGGAACAAGAUACAGUCCAUCCCUAAAGUUGAGAUUGAUUAUGAGGAUAUAUUUUGGUGACAACAUUGAAGGAAAUCCAUUUCAUCUACCUCAACUGAAGAACAUCUCAACCCUGUGAUAGCUCUAAUGUGAAAUCUUAUGAUUUGGCAAUGUGAAAACUGAAAACUGAAGACUUCAGUGCGUUUAGUUUGCGUUUUUAUUUUCUGUUUUCAUUUUUAGUAUUUUCUGUUGUUUGGAUUUUAGGAACGAAAAAGUGAAAACAGGAGAUGAAAACAAAAAACAGGAUUUUAUUGUUUUCAACUUUUCCUUCACAAAAUCCAAACAACAGAAAAUACUGAAAAAGAGUAUGUAAGUUAUUUUGCCCCAUUCUUUGCAUUCCACAUUGUUGCAAUUUUAUUUUAUGGAAAAGUCUACGGGGCCAGCAACUUGUGUAUUUUCUGACCAGCACUUAACCAUCAAAACAAAAGUGAGUGAUCUCCUACCAUUAGAUGUAAUCUCACACCAUUAAAAACACUAUUGAUGACCAAUUGAUGGUUACAAAACACCAAAAUUACUGGCUCCUAGUAUUCCUCUUAUUUUAUUUUAUCAUCUUAGAUAAGUCUUUGAAUAAGAGAUAUUCAAGAAAACCGUUAUUUUUUUUAAUCUUUCUUCUCUAGCAAGCACAGAUUAAAUGAGCCAAUGAGUUAUAACUCAAAUGGCAUAGUCUUUCCAUAUUCAAUUAAGAGGUUGCGGGUUCGAGUCUCCUAUCUUUGAUUAAAAAAAAAAGCACAAAUUAAAUGCUCAGUAGACUAUCUUUUAGGAUAUUAUGUUAAUUAACGCUGUCUAAAUUUUAUAAAAAUCCCAAUUAUUUAGGAAUAAAUAAGAUUUAAAAAUGAAUUGUUAUUAGUGAACGGAAAAAAGAAAAACAGAGCUAUUAAAAUAGGUUAUUUGCGUCACGUGUUAACAAAGUUAUCAACUCAUCACUAUAUUAUGAAAUGUAAAUUUCACACAAAUAAAACUCACACUUAAUUCUAUAUUUAUAUAUAAAAAUGAAAUGAUGGAUCCACAAAUAAAUACAUCUAACAUUAGUCAUAGAAUUAUUUCCCUAAAAAGAAAUAAAAAUAAUACCUUUCGUAUAAGAUUUUUUGUGCAAGAUAUGUCAUUAUAUAUUUAUAUCGAUCAUUGCAUGGCCUAUGCAUGCCUAGAUAAAUACAUGCAUGAUUAAUGUUGUAUGGAGCAUUAAAGUAGCACAGAAAGUUAGGUGUGACUUGUAAUUACGUAACAUAUUUGAAUAAUACUCAAUUUAGUCCCUAAAAUUACACUCGAGCCUCAAUUUAGUCCUUAAAGUUUUAAUUGCCUCAAUUUAGUCCCCAAACUUUUCAAUUAACUCUGUGACGGAAACCACUGUACGGAAACCACUGUAAGGACUAACGUGAUUAAAAUUUGAAAAGUUCAGAGACUAAAUUGAGGCAAUUAAAACUUCAAGAACUAAAUUGAGGCUCGAGUGUAACUUAAGGGACCAAACUGAGUAUUUUCUCAACAUAUUUUCAAUUUGCCACAAUUUGAUGUAUUAAAAUUGUCUCUAUUUCUUGUAAUAAAGCUUGACUUAGUCGGUAUAAUUUAAACUUAUAAAGUGCAUAUCAAGAAUAAUAUGCUUAUUAAUAUAUUCUUUAAUUUUUCCUUCUUUUUAAAUUUUAUUUCAUUGGCGUGAAGACUUUGCAACUUAAGAAGGAAUGACAUGGUAAACAUAAUCUAAUUAUCCAACCAUUUAGAUUGCCAAACAAGAAAAUUGGCUGUCUCCAACAUCUUAAUUUAUUGGUUGGUUAGAAAUCAUAUGAUCUGUUUUUCCAAAAUGUCAAACUUAUGUAGCAAAUUUCCUUGUCGUACUAUUCAAUUAAUUAAGAUCUGUUUAACCAUCUACAUUACUAUAGCAAAUUUUCCUUUCGUCAUAUUAGUCCUACAUUAAUUAGUCUCACAAUUACUUUAUUUUAUGUUUAUCAUUUUCACAUAUUAACAAAGUAAUUAUUAUUUUUCUAAUUUUGUUUUAAUUACACAUCAGUAACUAAAUAGUUUAGUAUAGAAUUAAGGAACCAUUCACAUAAAGAUGCUUAAAACGUCUUUUUUUUUUAAGGUAAAAAUUCAUGUGGAGUCGACUUCACGUGAAGUUGAUAUCUAAGAGUCGUUAGAUGAAAAUUUAGUUAAAUCAGUCAAAUCAUCUAACAGCUCUCAAGUAUUCGACUGCACCUGAGUUUCCACCUUUUUUUUAAAGACGUUUUUUAAUAAUUAAAAUUUAAUCUAUAUAAUCAAUCAAACUGUGUUAUUUUUGUCAAAAUUAGACCAAAUAAAUUAGUUUGACCGAAAAAUUGAUAAACUAAAUCUUGAACCGACCUAAAUUAAUAUUCUUUUUUUAUAGAAAAUAACUAUAAUAUUCUUAUUAUAAAAAAUGACUGAAAUACUCUUUAAUUUUGAAAAUCCUAAAUUCUAAUCCUAUGACGACACAGAGAAAAGAGAAGGGUUAUGAUUUAGAGUUUUUUUUAUAUAUAUAUAAAGUCAUUUUCUAUAACAGGGGUAUUAUAGUUAUUUUUAUAAAAAAUAUUAAUUUAAAUCGGUUUAAGAUUUGGUUUAUCAAUUUUUCGAUCAAACCCAUUUGUUUGGCCUAUUUUAACAAAAAUAACACAGUUUAAUCGAUUAUAUAAAUUGAAUUUUGAUUAUUAAAAAUGUCUUUAAAAAAAGACGUUUUAAGUAUCUUUAUGUGAGUGGCUCCCAUAGAAUUAAACAAGGGCAUUUUAAUCUAAUAAGUAUGCAUCACAAUUAAGUUUUAAUUUUAAUUUCCUUAAUUCUUGUAUAUUAGUUCUAAUUAAAUGAAAAAUAUUAAAUUAAUAAUUAUAAUAGCAAGAAAAAUUAAAAGAAAAACAAUUUUGUUACACCAAUUCCCAACUGCAUGCAUGAAUAAUUGUCCUAUAUAUAUAUGCAAAUCUUCCGGACCUUUAAGAAAUUAUAGUGGUUGAAGAAGCUACUAAUAAUAGCAUGGGAGAACAUGUUGAAGAAUGAAGAAUAAUUAAUAGGUAGCAUGGUAGGGACAAAAUUUUGGCACACACUACACUACAAAUAAUAAUAAGCAUUAUGAUGAUGCAAGAAAGUUUUGACAAUAUGUGUGUGCUGAAAUUCUCAAACUAAUUAAAACAUGCAGAAUAAUAGCCGGCAAUAUUGGGUACCUAUAUUAUGUUUACUUUUCUUAAGGAUUAUUAAUUAUGUUAUGGGCUUAUGGCCCCUCUCUGUAUUAUGUACUAUACCUUUCAUGCUUGUUAAUUAUACAUGCAGUAUGUAUAAUUGUAUAGCACUAAAUUAGCUGGUUUUCUUGCAGGAUUUCAGGGUGCAUUGUUGGGAAGCCAUGUGGUUAAAUAUCUCUAAAUUAAAAGGUGGAUAAGAGUAAAUUAAUUUGUAGGGGUGUUCGCGGAUCGGAUCGGAUCGGAUAUGGCCGAAAAUUCGAUCCGAUCCGCACAAUUUUCAUCGGAUCGGAUCGGAUAUGAUAUCCGCACUUUUUAGUGGAUCGGAUACGCGGAUGUAGAGCAGAUAUCCGCGAUCUGAUCCGCAAAGGGUGCAGAUCGGAUCCGAUCAAUUUGCGAAUCGGAUCGUAUCCGCAAUUUUCGGAUCGAAUGCGGAUAUUUACCGCAAAUCUGCGGAUACGAUCCGAUCCAUGGACACCCCUAUUAAUUUGUAUAUUGGGAUAAUCACAUAAUUAGGGUGAUAAGCUUCACCAAACUUUCACAGCCAUUAGCACAUAACAAUCAAGUAUAUAAAUAGAGGAUAUGGAGAACUAGUCAUGAAUUGAAGAAAACAUGCAACAUCUAUAGGAAAAGACAAAAUUAAGAUUUUGAGAGAGUGAUUAAUAAAAUCAAAGCUGGAAAAAACUGUUAUAUAUAUAUAAAGGUAGAGAGACUAGAGAGUAACCUGUCCCAUAAGUAAUUUAGGUUGUGAAUUUAUUGCAUAGGAUUGGCUCAACCAACUCUCCUAACACUUUUCUCUUACUGUCACAGAUACUCACAUGCAAGCUAAGAUGCAACAACCUCUCUCUCUUUAUUUAUGACACAAUUAUUGCCCCAUAAAACCCCACUUGUGUUGUGUGUUAUAGACCUGCAAGGCAGUAAAAAUACAUAGAGUUUCUGAAUCAAAUCAGUAACCUGCAGUGCAGUGCAGUGAACAUUGUUAUUAUUGAGAAUGGCAGAGGUUUAUACUGUGAAAGUUGAGGAAGGAAGAGAAGCAAGUAAUGGAAAGCCCUCAGUAGGAGCUGUGUAUAGAUGCAUAUAUGCCAAAGAUUCUCUCUUGCAAGUACCUCCUCAGUUACAUUCACCUUGGGACUUCUUCAGGUCACUUUCUUCUUUUAUACCAUUCUUUUUUUUCAUUAGUUUUUAGGAAUUAUAAAAAAUACACAAGUUUUUUAUUUAUGGUACAAAAAAAAAAAAAAUUGUAUUUGUGUUAUUGUCUUUUAAAAAAAUAUCGAAAAUAUCGAGUUUUUACGUCUCUUGUUUUUUCCAUGUUUCUUUCUUAAAGAAAAUAUCCAAAUAUGUCUUAAUAACACUCUUUAAAUUUAGAAUACAAUAUCUUAAUACUUUAAAACUUAAACAUUUUAUUUUUCUACACUAUAUAUUCUACUUUUAGAUUAUGUUAUUAGUAUAUUUGUUAGUGAAGACUUAUUUUAACAUAGAAUUAUGGAAAUGAAUAUAAUUUAUCAUGCAUCCUUGCAUAAUAAGCUUUUCCAUUUGUAGCUUUGAACAAAAUAAUGCUUUUUUUUUAUUAAAAGGGUGAUUAAUUGUUUCAAAAUGAGCUUGUUCUGUAUUAGUAUUCAGUUUUAGAUCAUUUGUAAUUGCACAAUGUAAUUAUCACACUGACCAAAUCACAAUCCAUAUAAUAGCCGCAUAUGCUAAUGUUACUUAACAUGUGUUACUGGCUUUAAUUAACUAGUCUGUAUCAAUGCACACGUUAGUUUUAUAUAUCCUUAAUUUCUUGAUUUUAAUACAUCAAUUUAUCAAUUAAAUGCUAUUUCAUUCUAAUAAUGAUUCUCUAAUCUAUCCAGAUUAAACAAUGGUUGCCAAAUAAAUAAUGAAUUUGUUUUGAUUGAAAACAAGAUUAACAUAACAAGUAUAGCAGUUUAUUUGAAGAAGAUUCAUGGAACAAACAGUAUAAUGGUAAUAUUUGGUUUUAGAACUUUCCUUAGCAGUUUUUAAUGUUUCCUUUUGGCAGGGACUCUGUUAAGAGGAAUCCCAACUGUCGAAUGCUCGGCCGGCGUCAGAAAACAGAAUCCAAGGUACUAUAAGUCUAUGAAUUUGUGUAAUUUAUGUAAUCGAUUUCACCUAAUAAAAAAAAGGUUUAAUUACUCUGCUGGUCCCUAUAGUUUCGCAAAAUUUUCAAUUAGGUCCUUAUACUUUUUUUUCUUUUAAUUGAGUCCUUGCACCAAAUUUUUUUUUAAAUUGGGUCCCUACACUUUUUUUUCCUUUUAUUUAAGUCUCUGUAUCAAUUUCUUUUUAGUUGGGUCCCUAUAAAAUUAAGCCAAUUACUACUAAGAGGGACUUAAUUGAAAAAAAAAUUUGGUGCAGGGACCCAAUUAAAAAGAAAAAAAGUAUAGGGACCUAAUUGAAAAUUUCACGAAACUAUAGAGACCAACAGAGUAAUUAAACCUAAAAAAAAUUCUGUUAUUUUUGUUAACCCUUAGAAUAUACUGAGAAAAUUGAGGUGAAUUAUUAGGAGGCAGGUCCCUAUGCAUGGCUGACAUAUCAAGAGGUUUAUGAUGCUUCUAUCCAAAUGGGUUCUGCCAUGAGAAGCCUAGGGGUUAAUCCUGUGAGUAUGCAACAUUUUAUUGCUCUUAUAAUGUGCUUGAUAUUUUGUAUUGUAAAUCAUUAAAUGUGAAUUAAUAAUCUAACUAUUUUUUUGAUUUUUUUUUUUUUCACUCUAAGGGUGAUCGUUGUGGCAUUUAUGGAUCCAAUUGCCCUGAAUGGAUUAUUGCAAUGGAGGUAUAGGACUUUGUAAAUUGUAAUAUUAUUCACAUUUUAUCAAAGAGAAAUUAGAAUAUACAAUUAUAUAUUUAGAGAUAAAAGAGUGUUAUGUAUAAUAUACCUUGUUGAUUAUUCCAACAAGAUAUAUAACUUGAUUCAAUUUUAUUUUCACCCUGUUUUGUAGGCUUGCAAUAGCCAUGCAGUAACAUAUGUUCCAUUAUAUGAUACCCUCGGUAUGAUUUUUCCUUCCUUAGAAUUAUAGAAUAUGUAUCAAUUUGUGUAACAUAGUUGAUUAGUUUCUCUUACAUAUAACAUGGAAUUAUAAUGCCUAACAGGUCCUAAUGCAGUGGAGUUUAUCAUAAAUCAUGCCGAAGUUUCAAUAGCAUUUGUACAAGAAAAUAAGAUUCCAUCUGUNNNNNNNNNNNNNNNNNNNNNNNNNNNNNNNNNNNNNNNNNNNNNNNNNNNNNNNNNNNNNNNNNNNNNNNNNNNNNNNNNNNNNNNNNNNNNNNNNNNNNNNNNNNNNNNNNNNNNNNNNNNNNNNNNNNNNNNNNNNNNNNNNNNNNNNNNNNNNNNNNNNNNNNNNNNNNNNNNNNNNNNNNNNNNNNNNNNNNNNNNNNNNNNNNNNNNNNNNNNNNNNNNNNNNNNNNNNNNNNNNNNNNNNNNNNNNNNNNNNNNNNNNNNNNNNNNNNNNNNNNNNNUUUUUUUUUUUUUUUUCUCUAGCUAGCACAAUAAUUUAUUUGGAGUAGAAACUUAGAAUAAUGUCAAUUUUGAUUUCAUGUUUGUGCAGAUUUUGUCUUGUCUUGAAAGGUGCUGUUCAAAUCUCAAAAGUAGGUUGAACAUAUUUCUAUAUUAAACCUUAAUGAUUCCUAGCUAGUUAGAUUAUUAAGUGUUUGAGAAAAGGACAAAUAGGUCCUUGACCUUUUGUCCCGCGGACAUUUUUGUCCCUGACCAUUGAAAAAUACUUUUAAGUCGCUGACCUUCACAAAACUUGGACGGAUCAAUCCCUUCGUUCAAAUGCCUCCUUCAGGGACUAAUCCGUCCAAAUGUCUCCGUUAGGGACUGAUCCGUCCAAGUUUUGUGAAAGUCAGGCACUUAAAAGUAUUUUUCAAUGAUCAGCAACGAAAAUGUCCGCGGAGCAAAAGGUUAGGGACCUAUUUGUCCUUUUCUCUAAGUGUUUUUCCUCAUUCAGUUGGUGAAUUAAUAUAAUAAUGGUGUAGCUAUUGUGAGCUUUGGAAGUGUUUCAAGCACACAAAAGAAGGAAGCUGAGAAAUUCGGAACAUGUUGCUUGACAUGGGGAGAGUUUCUACACUUGGUAUAGAAACAUGCUUUAUAAUCACAUUGAGUAUUCUUUCAUAAUUUUUUGCAAUAACUUAAUCUACUAUUUUUUGUCUUUGUCUAUCAGGGAAGUUUGGACUGUGAUCUACCAUCAAAAAAGAAGACUGAUAUUUGCACAAUAAUGUACACAAGUGGAACAACUGGAGAUCCCAAAGGUGUUGUCAUCAAGAAUGAAGCUUUCAUGGCUGAAGUCUUGUCUAUUGACCAAAUAAUUUCACUAACAGACAGAGUGGUAUGCUAUAAGAAUUUUUAUUCUUACUUCAUUAGCAUCUUAAUCUUCUUCUGUUACAAAAAGUUAUUACCUCUUAGGAUAUACUCAAAUUGUAGCAUAAAUAUGAGUCAAUCUGUUGUACAAUUCAAAAUAAGUCACUCAAAUAUUCGAGUUAUUUUGUAUUACACAUCAGAUCGACUCGAUUUUGACCGAAUAUAAGUCACCAGACAAGGUUGAGUUUCUCAUAUUUAUGACAAUAACAACAACAACAACAACAACAAAGCCUUGUCCCACUAAGUGGGGUCGGCUACAUGAAUCAAACGACGCCAUUGUACUCUGUCAUGUAUCAUGUUUCUCAUAUUUAUGACAAUUAAAGAAAAUUGUGAUAUUGGAAUAUUUGUAGGCAACAGAGGAGGAUGUGUACUUCUCCUUUCUUCCUCUUGCACAUGUAUAUGACCAGAUAAUGGAAACUUAUUGCAUCCACAAGAACUCUUCAAUAGGAUUUUGGCAAGGGGUGAGAAAGACUUCCAUAUUAACUUCAUGAAAUUUAAUUUGGUUUAAUUUAAUAUAGUUUCCAUCUUAUGUUAUAUACUUUUUAAUGCAUAGUUUUGAAUUUUUCAAACUAAAUAUUGCAGGAUGUUAGGUUUCUGUUGGAAGAUAUUCAGACACUAAAACCAACCAUAUUCUGUGGUGUCCCUAGAGUUUUUGACCGUAUUUAUGCUGGUAAUUAAUUCUCUUCUUCUGUGAUAUUAUCAUAUAUGAAAAUAAUGCUCCAAGUAUUUUUUAUUUUUUUUUUCAUUCUAAGCUCCUCUUUCCUUUUUUAUUUUGCAAUUGAAGGUAUAAACAACAAGGUUUCCUCUGGAGGAGCACUGCAAAGUGCAUUGUUUCAUUAUGCAUAUAACUAGUAUGUUUUAUCACUAAUUAAUCUCUAUGACAGUUUUAACUACCUAUUCAUAUGUAAACUAAUCUUGACUCUAACAACAGCAAGUUGAGAAAUCUAGAGAAGGGUCUUCCACAACACAAAGCAGCACCUUUGUUUGAUAAGCUUGUGUUUGAUAAGGUAUGCUUUAAACUUAAUCAAUACUUUACUAGCAAGAUAGAAAACUCAUGAAAGAUUGAAUUAAAAAGCUAAUACAUUAUUGGUUUGAAUAAUUGGUAGACAAAACAAGCAUUAGGUGGACGAGUUCGAAUCUUGUUAUCAGGAGCUGCUCCUUUGCCUAGACAUGUUGAGGAGUUUAUGAGGGUCACUAGUGGAUCUACAUUAUCACAAGGAUAUGGUAUCAACUUUGAUAUUUAAUCUUUCAGUGUCUUUGAAUAGAGAUGAAAUUGUUGAUGAUUGUGUAUUCAUUUUGAUAUGACAGGUCUUACUGAAAGCUGUGCUGGGUGUUUCACAGCAAUAGGUGAUGUGUAUUCAAUGACAGGAACUGUUGGAAUCCCCAUGACAACCAUUGAAGCAAGGCUUGAAUCAGUGCCUGAGAUGGGAUAUGAUGCACUUUCCGGUGUGCCACGUGGAGAAAUUUGCCUCAGAGGUGUUAGCUUGUUCUCUGGUUAUCACAAGCGUCAAGAUCUUACUCAUGAGGUUAUGGUUGAUGGUUGGUUUCAUACAGGUAAAUGUUAACUAUGUAGAAUAUUAAAACCUGUUACAUUGCCUCUAAAUGCAAGAAAUUCUUAGUUGCUCUCAGAGUUGACUAAAGUGACUAACUAGUGACUUGUCAUUUAAUUAAUAAAUCAGUGCAAGAGUUAUAACUAAUAACUCAAACUCUAAAUGCAAUAUUAAAGGCUUGAUUUGGAAAUCAUUGCAGGUGACAUUGGAGAGUGGCAACCAAAUGGAGCAAUGAAAAUCAUUGAUAGAAAAAAGAACAUCUUUAAGUUAUCUCAAGGAGAAUAUAUUGCUGUGGAGAGCAUAGAGAACAAGUAUCUGCAAUGCCCUCUUAUAACUUCGGUGUGUUUCUAUAUAAACUCACAGAAUCAACACUUAAUUGCAUAUAUAUAAUAUGGCAUUGUAAUUCUUCUCAAUUACUAAACGGAGUAAGGGUCGGUUUGGUUCGGGUUUAUGGUAAAAUUAGAAUCGAACCGAUCAAAAUAUAAUUGGUUCGGUUUGGUUCGGAUUUGUAUUUUUUUGUACAUGUACUCGAACCAAACCAAACUGAUUAAGAACAGAUUGGUUCGGUUCGGGUAAUUGGGUACUCGAUAACUUUGAAAUUCAUAAAAACAAACCAAAUUUUUGUCUUAAAAAUUCAACAAGUACAAUAAACAUGUAACAUCAAUAGAAAUAAUCCAAACAUGUUAAACACCAAAUACAAAACAUAUUAAUAAUGAAUAAUCAUUGUCUAAACAUCGGGUUCGUGGGUUGGUUCGGGUUCCGCACCCCCAAAACCGAUACCCGAACCCACUAACAAAAGCCAUCGGUUUGGUUCGGAUUGGACCCGAUUACCCGUUGGUUUCAGAACCAAUUUAAUUGGUUCGGUUCGGGUUCGGACGGGUAAUCGGGUACCCGCUACCCGUGCUCACCCCUAACUAAACUUAUGUUGUUAAAUAUGGAUUACAAAUUUCCUUCCGGAUGCAGAUUUGGGUGUAUGGAAAUAGUUUUGAGUCAUUCUUGGUGGCUGUGGUGGUUCCUGAAAGAAAGGCCCUUGAGGAUUGGGCACUUGAGCAUAAUUUGACUGCAGAUUAUAAAUCUUUAUGUGAUAAUCUGAAGGCAAGAAAAUACAUAUUGGAUAACCUCAACAGCACUGCUCAGAAACACCAAGUAUGUAUAUGAAAUUCUCCAUCUUAAUCCUAUGCUGCUGAUAUAUGACAAUAGAUAGUAUAUUAUUUCUAGAAAAAAAAUAACUUUCUGUUAAUAAAUUUAGACAAUAUUAAUUUUUCAUAUCCAUAAUAUUCCUAUUUUUUCCCCUAUCAUAUCUCCUACUAAGCAGGACAAAGUGCAAAACUUUGUAAUUGUUGUAUUAUACUCCUAUUAUUAAAGAGGGGAGAGAAUAAUGAAAAAGAUAAUACAAAAAUACAUUUGUCCACUAAUCCAUAUACAUAAUUAAUCACUUUCAUAAUUCGUGUUAAGUAUUUAUAACAAUAUAUAUAAUCUAUUUUGUUCAUACUAAUUAAAUCUUUGACUUUAACUCUCUCAGCUUAGAGGAUUUGAGCUGCUAAAGGCUGUUCAUUUGGAACCAAUUCCCUUUGACAUGGAGAGAGAUUUAAUAACCCCAACAUUCAAGUUGAAGAGACCACAGUUGCUCAAGUAUUAUAAGGUUUGUCUUCAAGCCGUGAUCAAUAUUUCAUAACUCUGUUUCACUUCAAACCUUACAAGUUUUUAGUGGUUUGCUUGUUUUUUUGUUUAUUUAUUUAACUCCUUCAUAUACUGAUAUGAUUUAGAAUUUAAACAAGCCUAUAAAUGUAAAUUGGUUUUAGCUUCCUUAUAUCUGGAUUCAAGGGCUAUCUAUGAAUUACAAUGAGAUGUUUGAGUGCCUUAAUUUGAUAAACUAAUGUUACUAUACAAACAUGCGCAGAACCAUAUUGAGGAACUAUACAAGGAAGCAAAGGGAACAAAGGCGUGAACCAUAUAACAAGAGGGUACCCUGUAGUCCUACAUUAUGCUCUGAUAGUAAUUUUUACCAGUUGUGUUAGAAGCCAUUUGGUUUCUUGUAAAUAUAUGUUUAUGAAUGAACACUUUGCAAGUGAUAAACAAAAUUUAGUUGUCGUUCCUUGUUAUGAAGUGAUUAAGUGUCUGUAAUUCUGUAUGCUACAUUCCACGUGUGUAAUUUGUCAAUAUUAAUUAAUAAAAUUAUUUUGAAAAUUCCAAAAAGCUAUAAAUUCCCUUCCCUUGAAAAAUCAGUUUCUUUUACUUUACUUUAUUUUUUCAUAAACUGAUAAACACUUAAACUCCUAGAGAGUAUGUACAUAGGGGUGAGCACGGAUCGGUUUGGUUCGAGUUCAUGGUAAAAUUAGAAUUGAACCGAUCAAAAUAUAAUUGGUUCGAUUUGGAUCGAAUUUGUGUUUUUUUGUAUAUGUAUCUGAACCAAACCAAACUAAUAAAGAACGGAUUUGUUCGGUUCCGGUAAUUAAUUAUCCGAUAACUUUGAAAUUCAUAAAAAAAAAUCAAAUUUUUAUCUUAAAAAUUCAACAAAUAUAAUAAACAUGUAAUAUCAAUAGAAAUAAUCCAAACAUUUAAACACCAAAUACAUUAAAAACUAAACCCAUUAAAAUCCAAACAUAUUAAUAAUGAAUAAUCUGUCUAAUGAAAAAGUCAUAUAUAUAUUUUUUAUUUUUUUAUUUAAUUAAUAUAUGAUCGGGUUCGCGGGUUGAUUCGGAUUCCGCACUCCCAGAAUCGAUACCCACUCCCAGAAUCGAUACCCGAACCAAUCACUAACAAAGAUCAUCGGUUUGGUUUGAGUUGAACCCAAUUAUUCAUUGGUUUCAAAACCAAUUUAAUUGAUUCGGUUCGGAUUCGGAUGGAUAAUUGGUUACCCGCUACCUGUGCUCACCCCUAUAUUUAUGUUUGAUUAAGAGGUAAAAGUACGAUGCAUAUUUUUAUAAAUAAACUUUAUUUAUGGGUCAAGAAAUUAUCGAAAAAAUUGUCCAUCCCAUUUUUAUUAGUCAACCAAACACAUCCCUAAUGUUAUCUUCACACUACAAACUAAGGAUGAUGUUAAUAGCACCACAAGAACACUUAGCAAAGAGAGAGAGAUACAGAAUCUGAAAAUGUUGCAGCUAUGUCACAUUUUGAGUCUUCAUGUUCAGUGUCAAUUCACCUUCUAUGUAGCAAUAUUGCAUUCUUUUUCAAGGAAUAAAAUGUUGCUGAAUCAAGAAAGAUGAACGAUAUUUGAAUACGCGAAUUCACUCAUCAUUUAUACGCAUCCAAACUACAAGGACAUGCAAAAGCAAAAGUCAUAAACAAUGGCAAGGAAUUCUAAUCUCUAGAUACGUUAACAAACAUUAACAACAACAAAAUUCAACUUGCUUCUCACUCAUGACACAUUAAACAAGACCAAAUUUGCUGCUACACAUACAUUAUGUUUGUACCUAUAGAAUGUAGAGCACGAGCGUCCAGAUAGGAUACACCAACAGAAGGAUUAUUCCUAACGUAUUGGAUAUGCCGUGAGGUUUGGUGAAGGAGUUUCUGAAACCACCGGAAGCGCGAAUAUGUUCUUGCAGCAAGUAACAUGCAAUGGCAAGGCAUAUUAUCACCCCUACUGCAUUGUUUCUAACGGUGCUUGCAAACAGACUUGGAGCUACCACAACGAGCAGAAUCAAAGCAGCAGGAAGUUCCAACCAUUCUGCAAUAUCAACCGUUACAAGUUAGUUACUUAGUUACUACUACUUUCUAAUUGCCAUGGCAUGGAAAAUAUUUCAUAGAUCUUAAUUUCUCUUCUGAUAGCGAAUGAGCAAGCAAGCAAGUAAAAGAAUACCGACAAAAUCUACAGGGAAAAGAAAAUAAAUACUGUAGCAUACAACUUAAUCAGCAUUUAGGCCGCUUUUGUUUUCGAGAACAUGACAGGACAAAACAGGACAAAACACUAAUGGACAGAGACAGAAAAUUUUAUGUUCUUGUAUUUUGUUUGGUGAUAAAUUAGAACAAAUUAUGAAAAUCCAAUUUAUUCUCAUUUUUUUCAUCCAAAAAAUUUGAAAUAAAAAAUAUAAUAAUAAAAAAUAUAAUUAUAAAAAAUUAACAAAAAUAAUGAAAGAAAAAAUAAAAAAUAAGUUGUAUCCCUUGUAAGUGUUUCUGUGUCCUUCAUGUCAGGAUGGACACAAAAUACACUAAUUAAGUAUCUUUGGCCACAUUGUUUCUGUCAUGUCUCCUCUGCCAAACAUGAUUUUGUGUCUCACUCUGUCUCUGUGUCUUGUUUAGAGACAUCAGAUUUUUCCUAGCUAUAAGAAAAAUUGAAGCAUAUAUGUAGAUACCAGGGAAGCGCCUUGGAAAGAAAAGUCGCAAUACAACUGCAAUUAAAGCAAUCCAUUUCCCAACAUCACCCCUGCAAUGGAAAAAAGGAGGAGGUAUCAAGAGCUGCUCUGAGUAGUGCAGAGCCAAGAAAAAUCAGAGAGAAACGAAUGGAUCUAGUAAAAUGCAUUGAAGCUGUAAUGAAUCGAAUUACACGUGAUUACAGUGAGAGUGGUUAUUUAUACCUGAGCUAACAGAAUUCAUAACAGAAAAGGUGCCAGCUCAGCACAGAUUCUAACUUAUUCUAACUACUUUCAUCUACUAACAACUCUCACUAGCUGAAGAAAGGGUGAGGUACCUGAAGAAGCCGAAAAUCCAUGAAGGCAAGCUGAAGAAAAUGUAUGGAAUGAGAAGUGAUGUAAGAAUGUUGGUCUUCCAGUUUGUACGAUCCAAAAUCAGCAAAUAGCUGCAGAUGAGUGAUUAGCGAUUAGAUAAUUAGGUUAGAGAUAUGGAACGAUCGAAGAGGGAAUAGUAAGAGAUACAUACAUAGCAGCGAUGGAAGCAACGGAUUCAAGCACAGUGACUCCGGCGCCGGACACAGCAGCUAGUUUAACGGCGUUUUUGGCGAGUUUAUUAGCAGCAAAAGCAAGGUCCCUCAGAUCUGAACCGAUUAAUUCAGCUGCUUCAUCUUCGAAUUCCCUCCUCAUUGCUAAGUAGCUCUUCUUGUUGCGCUUCCACAUUUCCUAUGCCUUCUUGGUGUGAGAUACAGAAAACAGAAAGCUGAUUUUGCACUGCGCUGACACGUGUGAAACUCUCGGAAUAGGAACUGCCACGUGGAGUUCAACCAUUGGAUCGUCAUCGUCAUCACAUAAAUGCGGUGCCGCUUCGAUAAGAAUUGCGACAAGUGAGAACAACGUUCAACGUUCUUCUAUAUGGAUUAUGGAUAUGCACGUGAAUAUAUCACACAACAAAAUUUUUCUUUUUUCAUUACACACUACUCACUCAGAGCUGCAUCACACGACAAUUUUUUUUUUUUCAGGAGAUUGGACAACUCCAAUUUUAAAUAUUUUAAUAAAUUGAACAAUUCUUAAUGCUAAAUACAUAAUACACCUAUAUAUUUUUCACAUUUUUACCACAUUUUUUUUCAAUUACAAUUUUUAAAAUUUAAAUUCUAGACCUUUGAAGUGGAAAGAGAAAGAUAUGUCAUAUAAACUAAGGCUAGUUGGCAUCACACGACAAAUUUAAGUUAUCAUCUCAAUCGUUUUAUUUUUUUUUUUCUCAAGUUUGGUAAAAGAUAUCAAUAAUGCAAAGGUCCAAUUGACCAAGUUUUAUAAACUGUUGGUCUGAUCCAUUUAUGUAUUGGGCUAACUGGCUACAUUACGAAUUAUUUUAGCUAACAUAUCUAGAUAUAUAUUUUUUGGAUUAGCUUCAAUUCUAAUUAAUAAAAAUAUCUUGAAAAAAUAAAAAGGACAAAAUUUAGGCUCAAUUUGAGUAAACAACUUAAUUAAGUUAUUUUUUAAAAAAUAGCUUAAACAAUAAAUGCUUAUAUUAAAAGUAGUUUAUAAAUAAAUUAUUUUGUAUUUGGUUUUUUAAUUCUAAAAAUACUUAUUUUAAGAGAAAAGUAAUAAAAAAAUUUUUAUUAUGAGAAAAGUCAUUUUUUUAACUUCUCUUUAAACACCAAAAUAGUUUUUAGAAGGAUUAAAUUAAAAUGUGUGCAUGGAUAACAAAACAGGAAGUCCUUAUUAAUAGGGGUAUGUAUGGGCCGGGUGAAACCGGGUUUGAUGUGAUUCAGAUUCGGCCAAAAAUAUAUACCGGGCCUAUUUAUUAGACUCGAACCCGGCUCUAGACCCGAUGAAACCUAUACACUUUCCGGCCACGAUUAUAUCAGGUAAAAAUCGGGUGAAAACCGGGCCAUUAACAUUACAUUUUCUUGAUACCUUCUUAUAAACUAGCAUGUGAAAAUAUUCAAAUUUCCAAGACUCCAACUAUUAUUUGACAUGAUAAAAUUCACUUAGAAAAAUAUAACAAGAAUCAACUCUUCUCUAAAAUUAAAGCAUAACCAUAAUCAAUACUAAUAUUGUCUAAUACACUAAAUAUUUAAAUCAAUAUAAAUAACACAAUAUUAUGCAUUAGUCUAAAAUCUUAUGCAUUUUAAACAUAAAACAUUAACUUAUAGCCUUAUAAUAACUAAUAACACAAAAUAUUAAGGUUUACAAUACUUAAAUUCCACGUAAGAAUAACCUUCAUCUAUUACUAAUAAUACAAAAUAUUAAAUGUGUAUGAUGAUCGGACCACCGGACCGACUUCGAGUGACCCGAGUUAUGGCCCAAAUCCAACCCAAUAUAAUGAUCGAGUCUAUUUUUGAGACCCUUACCCGACCCUAGACUCAAUAAAAUUACACCAAAAUAGCUCCUAACGUAUUUGAAACCAGACCAAAUCUUCAAACCGGACUGGGUCAUACACACCCCUACUUAUUAACAUUAGAUGUAAGGAAUUUCACUCUUCUCUAUCCGUGUCUACAUGCAUGUAUAUAACUUCUUUUUGUUUUCUUGAAUUUUCUUCUCUUUCAUACUUUAUUUAAUUUGUCUCUUUCUUUUAAUGUCCUAUAUCUGUAUGCAUGGUCCACAAUGUCUUAAUUUGUUUGGAAAAAGAAAAAAGGAAGCACGGGGGAGGAGACAAAUUACAAAUAUCAAUAUUUGGAUUUAUUAACACAUGCAUGUCUUGAAGUAUUGCAAAUUAAAAGAAAAUUUGAUUUUUUUUCAGUCAACUAUAUAUUCAAUUCAAUACAUUCGAAUAAACAUUUUAAUUAAACCAGUAAUGUUUUAAAUUUUAUAUAUAUAUUUACAAAACUUGAAAAAAAUCUCUAAAUCUCUCCUAAUAAAUUAAGUGUAAAUGGGUUAAAAAAUUACGAUUUAUAUAUAACACAGGCAUAAUAAUUAAUAAGUAUAUAUAUGCAAAAUACAACCGAUCUCAUCGUUUUUAUUUUUAUAUUUCCAAAGAAAAAUAUUUAUCGAAGAGGAGAGAAGAAAAGAUGGUUUGAGUCUUACAGACACCACAAAUGACGAAAAAAAAGAUUCCAGUUUCAGAAGUCAUACAAAUCCAAAAUAGGCAAUUAGGAAGCAGGUGGAAUGGUUUCUAUAAUACCUUAUUCUAGAAUUAAAAUACAUUCUUUCUCUUGAUAAUUAUUGCAUUAUUUUUUUUAUUAAAAAAAUUAUGAAAAGAUAAAAUAAAAAAAAAUAAAAAAAAGAAGAAGAAGACGAUAAUGAUGAGAAGAAGAAUAGGAUAAAAAGAAUUUUAAAUUGUAUAGACUUUAUCAAAAAAAUAAUACCAAAAUUUUUUAAUCGUCACACAAAAAAUUUUUUAAUUUUGAUACUGAAAUUUUUUAAUUGUAACAUAGAUUUUUGUUAAAAAGGUGAAAUAAGAAUUAUGAGAAUACGUAAGAAGAAGGUGAUGAAACUAAAAAAAUAGAAGACAGAAAAAAAAAAAGAAAAAGAAGAUGACCGAGAAGAAAAAGAGGAGGAAUGAGAGAGUUUUAAUUGAUAUAAAUAGCACCAAAAUCUUUUAACUAUGACAUAGGACGUUUUUUAUUUUGACAUAAAAAAAUUUUAAUGACGACACAUAAAAUUUUGAAUUGCAUGUCAUUUUUAAUUAAAUAAUGUACUUUUUUUUUUUAUCAUUAAACUAGUUAAGUGAUACUAAUAUAUAAGAAGUUUAGUAAUUCUUUUGUUAUUUGUAAUAAUUUGAUGUAUUUUUUGUUUCAAAAUUUUUGAAUAUAUUUUGUUAAUUAAGUGAGUUAAGAUUUUAAAUUUGUGAUUUUUUAAAAACUUCUUGUAUUAUUUACUAAAGAUUUCUGUAACAUUUUUAGCCAAAUUAUAUGUUUUUGUUAUUAUUAAAUUGAUUAUGUGGUAUUAAACUAAGAUAUAAAUGAUUUAGUUAUUCUUAUAUUAUUUUAUAAUAAUUUGAUAUGUUUUUUAAAUUUAAAAUACAUUAAAAUGUAUUUGUUGAUUAAGUGAGUCGGUCUUAAAUUUAAAGAUUUCUUUUGUUAAUUAUUUAUCAAAAAUUUAAAUAUUAUUUACAAAAAAUGUAUGUGUUAUUUAUAAAAAAAACCAGAAGCGAAGAAAAAAAAAAAAAAAACAAAAGAAAUGCAUACGACUGAGAAGGAGAAAAAAACAAAACAGCUGCAAUAAUUUGGUUAAAAGAUUAUUUAGUUGUCUAGCUUUACUGUUUAUCGAAUUAUACUGUCAUCAUCACCAACUAUGCGCAUUAUAAUGUCCCUUCAAACAUCCAUUAGUCAUUAGUCAUUGAUCAAUAUAAAAUAAAAUCCUUCAUUCUCAUAUAUUAUUAAGAAUUUAAAAGGUACCAUGAAAAGGAUUUGGACUUUGGACAGUGGUUUCAAAUCAACUAAUUGCCGCUUGUUAUUUUUUAUGUGGGAGAGAGAAGUAUAUAACAAGAAGCUGUGAGUAGAAGUGUGUUUCACAUUGAUAUGGAAUGUACAAAUUGGAUGCACCGAUUUGUUUGUUUUAUUUUUUUUUUUCAAACAAACAAUCACAAAUCGGACGGUCCGAUUUGUGAAUUCGAAAAUAAAAAAUUUUUUAAUGUUAAAAUUGGACCGUCCGAUUUUUAUUUUAAAAAAUAAAAACAAAUAAAAAAUGCAAAACGAACCCACCGAUUUGUAGUUUAUUUUUUUCUCCAAACAAAUCGGACCCUCCGAUUUGUAAUUUAUUUUUCUCUUCAAACAAAUCGGACCGUCCGAUUUAAAUAAAACACCAUAUAAAAAAAAACACCUAAUCUUCCAAUAAUGAUGUAUUACACAUAUAUUUAAACAAUAUAAAAAAAAAUUAGCCACUAAUUGCAUGCAUUUUAAGUCAUUAUUUUUUUCAUCAACAAUAAUUGAAAUAAUGCUACUACUUAUAUUUUAAUAAUCUUUUUAAANNNNNNNNNNNNNNNNNAAGAAAGAAACCAACCUAGCUCUGCCCAAACAAACAUUUAAUAACACAUCUAAUAAAGAAGAUGACACUUUCAGUCCCAAUCGCAAUUAACCUACAUUCAAAUAAUGUACCAAUUUUGUUAGGAAUAUAUAUUUUUUUUAUGGAUUGCGUGCUCCACGAGAGAAUGAUCACCCAAUUCUCUUAGAAUAUAUAUUUUUUUCAGGAGGAAGCAAGAUGAUAAUAUUUGAUCUGAAUUCUGACCAUGUUAGCUUUUGUCGCAUUCCGUGGCUCAGAGCCAAGAAUUUUACCGACCCUAGAAAGAUAGACACAAAUUAAAUACUAAACUACUUAACAAUUUGAAAAUGCUAUUAGCCUUUAAAGUAUCAUUCAUUAAUUAAAUCUAAUAAUUUAAUCACAUUACUCCUAUUACUACUCCAUUUUAUACAUAAUUAUUGUAUUCAUAACACAAUGUCACGCCAAAAACAUUAUUCCUCUAUUCUUAUUACCCCUAUACCAGGAACAAUAUAAUAUGAAAGGGUUCUUGUAAGUGAUUUAAAUCAUGUGGAAUUAAUUAAUGCUUGAUAUAUAUGAAACAUUACUUUAUCCGAUAUGCUUAUUAGAUUGUUUAAUUCGAAAUUGAAACCAAUUAAUAAGUAAUAACCAGUUACUCUUUAGUCUUUAUAUACAAGUGCAUAGUAAUGGUUUUUACUUUUUAUAGAGUUAUCUUAAAUGGGUGGAAAUUUAGGAUUAAAAAAAAAAAGUAAAAAAAAUAUAUGAACCAAGAGGUGAUCAGCCAAAAAGUAAACAACUUAAUUAAUUUAUAAUUAUAUUUAAUUAAUUUUAUUUAUUUUUAAUUUAUAAUAUUUGAUAUUAAUUACUUCUCACCCCAAAUUAAAAUUCCAAAUGAUACGUUGGAGAAAUAGAGGUGGAGAUCACAGAACUUUCAAUAAUCCUGAUUCUUAGUAUAUAAAAAAAUUUAUAAAAUAUAUAAAAAAACAUCCAUUUAGUAUGAAAAAGAAAUAUUCUGAUACUUAGUAGAAGAAACAUCCUAAUGCCUAACAUAAACAUUAUUUACGUAGAGAUUUUGGAUUCACCCAAAAACAUUUAGCGGAUUUUUCGCUGGUACACUCUUAAUUCUCUAGCAUUAUUAUUUAAAAAGUAAAUAGCAAUAACACCCAUAAUUUUAAACUAAUAUUAUCAAUUUUAGUAUAUACUGUCCUUAUCAACAGCUAAUGAAGACAAAUAUUGUACCACACUUUACAACUUGACCUCUGUGUGUUAAUUAUGUGAUUAUAUCAUUCACUCUUGUCAUUUUAUCUGAAAAAUAUACUCAUUUCUAUUCAAUUNNNNNNNNNNNNNNNNNNNNNNNNNNNNNNNNNNNNNNNNNNNNNNNNNNNNNNNNNNNNNNNNNNNNNNNNNNNNNNNNNNNNNNNNNNNNNNNNNNNNNNNNNNNNNNNNNNNNNNNNNNNNCACAUCCAUCCACUUCUUACAAACAUUAAUUAUUUUCCUCUUAGAAGUACUAUCCACCUUUGAAAAUGUAUGUAGAUUCUAUUGUUGGAAAAAACUUAUAUACUCUUUAAGCCAUGCACACGAAACCAAUAAUCAAAUAAAAGUCACAUUAUUCAUGAAUCACCCUAGCUAUAUGAUUGACUGAUUGGUGCUCAUGCAUGGUUCCCCAACAAGUUUUUGUCCUACAUCAUAUUGAACAUAAAAAAUGCUUUUUUAUGGCAAUGCAAGUGGGUGUGGCUAUAACUGGCUAUGCAGUAUUUGCAUAUAUAUUUAGCUACCAUGCAUGUAUGCAUAUAUGUGUACUUGUGUAGUAUAGGACACACUACACACAUUAAAAUUCGGCAAAUUCUUUGGUGCCGAAUUUGUCGAAGUUAUCUAUUAAUAAGGUAAAUAUUAAAUAUUUAGAAAUUAUUUAUUUAUAUAUUUUUAAAGUUAAAUAUUAGUUUUUAUUUUCUUUUUUAACAAAUUGGACGAUACUAUUUAGAUACUAUAACAAUGUUCGAAGAUAGGGACCAAUGUCCUUCCACCCAAGAUUACACAUAUAUAUAUAUAUACACACACUCAUAUACAUAAUCUUGGAAGGAAUGGUUGAGGAUGAUCUUACGCAUCAGUGGUCCCUGGUGAUUAUAUUGCAGUGCUUCCUCUUUUUUUUUAACUUAUUAAUUUAUUAUACACUGAACCACAUUAUUUUUGAAAAUUUUUGUAUCACAUAAUUAUUUUUUUUAAAUAUUUUUUGAAAUUUUUUAUUAGAUAGCGGUGGUGAAAGACAGAGGGCUUUAGGUACAGAGUUUGAGGAGAAAUUAAUGUUUCUGAUACAAAAAUUGUUUAAAAAAAAAACAAUUUAUUUAAAAUAUCACUCUUUAUUAUUAUAUAUUAAAAACCUUUAUGCAGCGUAUAAUUGUGCNNNNNNNUAUUAUAGUAUCAUUAAGAUAUUAAUUGAAGGAUUAGUAUAUCGGUAGCUUAAAAAUAACGGAAGUUUCAUUCUUUAUAAUAAUAUUAUUGGAAUAAGGAAGCGUAUGAAACAGUAAAUUAAGAUGGCUUGCUUUAGUUAGUAAUAAAAAAUAGAGUUUUAGUCUUCUAUUAAAUUGUUAACCCUUUUUUCUUUUUUUCAAAGUUAUACAAAUUAAAGGAUGACAUAGUCACCCAGGAUAGUCAACAUGGCAAUAGGUUCCAAUUUAAUACACCCGAACAACGGGCUAAAUAAGUUCAAUUAAUAAAAUGCACGUGCCAUUAUUUCCACGGGAAAAUUGUGAAAAAAUGAAAAAUUGAACAUUUGAAAACGUGAAGAAGUAAGCUAAGAAUUAAGAUUACCCAAAUACGGCAAUACUUAUAACAUUGACAAAUAGAAUGCUUGAAUUAAGUCACUAGCGUUAUAUGAGAAGAAAUAUUUGACAAUUGACAAUGUUUGACUUGGGAUGAAUUUUGGUUUUAUAAUUAUUAGAAAAUUGUUUAGAUAAGUUUAAUGAAUACAUUCAUUUAAUAAUAUUCUCUUUCAGUAGUCCAACAUCAUGCACCCGACACUCUUAUGUUUUAAGAUCCUAUUAGUUAUAAAAUUCUUAAUUAAUUAAAUGAGAGAAUAGUAAAUGAUUUCUACACUUCUUCCAUAGAAUAAGGAUAUACUAAUUUAUAAUUAAAUAAAAAUUUUGAAUAAGAAAAUGAGAUAGUGAUGAAUCUUAAGAAACAAAAAUUGAAAAGAACAGAAAUAGAAUUAUGCUAUAUAUAACAAGUUUAUAAAAGGUAAUUCUUAAAAAUAUAUAAACAAAGUUUCAAUAGAAAAAAUAACUUUGUGUGUAUUCAAUAUUAUUAGGAAACAUCAAAAUCUUUUUUUAUUCUAUUAGAAAAACAUUUCAGUUUUUUGUAUUCUUUUUGUGCACUUGGUAGCAUGCAGUAAUACCCUUAAAAAUAUAGUUGUAAUUAAAAACGACAAUGAUAUACUAUAUUAUAUGGUUGGUUUUAAUAGUAUAUAUAUUAUAUAGAGACAAAAUUCGAUACUAUUCAUCUUAUAUGUGGAGCCUAUAUGUUUAUUAUUUUUUAAUUUUUAUAUUCAAAUGUUUUAUUUAUAAGUUAUAAUUCUCUCUUUAUUUUUAAAACUGUUAUAUUACAAGACAAAUAUAAUUUUUUUUUUCAAUUUUUUCAAUUAAUCUUACAAAUUAAACUAUAAUCUCUUAUUUAUAAAAUCAUAUAAAACAUUAUUUAAGAAAACAAUAAAUCCACGUACGUGUGCCACCAUAAUUUUGCAGAAGAAAUGUUUGGUAACAAAAAAAAUCAGCCAAAAAUAACUAUAACUUGCCUUAUUUAGCAUUCAUUAAUCGUUACGACAAUUAAUGAAUGCUAAAUAAGAUAAGUUUUGGCUGUUUUUUUUGUUUCCCUAGCAUUACCAAUCAGAAGCAGCCACGUAAGCAAUCCUUAGCUUGAGCAAUCAAGUAUCACCCAAUUGGCAACUUGCAUCUCCACAUACAACUCCAAAAUAAAGCAAAGCAACGAAUGCAAAAGAAACAAUGUAAAUGAAAAACGAGUAUAUCAUGUUUCACAACAUCCAAAAUUCACUAAACCUAAAUAUGAUUGAUGGUAACGUUUUAGAAGCUUUUAAAAUCAUCUACCAAAUGAAAAUGAACAUUGAAUAUAAAUCCUAAUUAAUUAUAUUGUUUUUUAACUGGUCAAAUUUGUUCAAAUAUUAAUCAAAAUAUUAUCCUUUAAUUUCUUCGGUCAAAUUAUAUUAUAUUAUUAUGAAAAAAAUAAUUCUACUCUUUCACCAAAUUGAAAUAUUAGAAAAAAAAAGUUAUUAUGAAUGAUCUAAUUAAUAAUAAAAGACUAAGAUAAUAUAUAUACAUAAAACGUUAAAAAUCGUGGCUGCAAAGAAGUGAGAUAGGUUCGUUGAAUCCAAAUCCUUGUAAAUAAUGCUUAAAAAAAUUACAACUGUGUAAAUUAUAUUAUUAAUUAAACAUUAUUUCUCAAGUCUUCAACUUGCUAUCAUGAUUAUAUGCACACCACAUCUCGCCUUCAUUAUCAACCCGAUCAAAAGGGCAAAAAACAAAAACCAAUCAAGCAUGCAUUCAAAUAAAAGUAAAUUCCUGUACACAAACACAAAUUUUACUUUUCACUUUCUACAACAAGUCAUAUUGAGAGUACAUUCAUUAGGGAUGUCCAUGGAUCAGAUCGUAUCCGCAGAUCCGCGGUAAAUGUCCGCAUCCGAUCCGAAAAUUACGGAUAUAAUCCGAUUCGCAAAUUGAUCGGAUCGGAUCGAACCCGAUCCGCAAAAUCGCGGAUAUCUGUUCUAUAUACGCGUAUCCGAUCCGCACUAUAAUAAUUAAAAAAUAAAAAAUAUAUAUAUGUUUGNNNNNNNNNNNAUUUUUAUUAUAAAAUAUAUAUUAAAAAUAAAUUAAAUAAAUUAUAUAUAUAUUUAUAUAUAAAUAUAUUAAUGAAUAAUUUUAGUGACUAACAUAUUUGAUAAAAAAUAAUAAAUGAAAAUAUAAACAAAGUAGGUGGUUUUUUCACAAAGUACAGUAGAGAUGAAUAAUAACUCAGAAGGUAGAAGAGGCCUUAGUGAGAGAAGUGAUGGUAACAUUUGGACCCAAAACAAUAUCCUUGUAUGUAAAUUCAAAAGUAUCAUAACGCAAGAAGAAUUCCACCAGAAACACCCUGCACAGUAGUAUCACCAGAUUCUUCCCAGGACACUGCUUGUUCUCCGGCCCGGGCUGCUCCGUUUCAGGCCCGUUCGACCACACCACGUACUUCAACAACCUCUCCCCUUCCUCCCCAACGAACCUCCUCGCCACAAACUCCUCCGCCUUCUCGAAUAUUCUAGAAUCCUUCGUGGCAAAAGGUUGAUACCCAAACAACAUCUCCCCUUUCUUGAUCUGAAAAGAGUCGUCGUGGCUAUUUACUAUUAUGUCCUCCCUGGCCUUCGCGUAUUGGUACGGCACUACAGGCUCUAUCCUCAUAGCUUCAUACACUAUGGAUUUCACCAAACUCAUUCUCUCAACACCGUUUAUUGUGAUGCCUCCUUCUUCUUUCACUACGCUUCUAACUUCUGCCGCUAUUUCCUUGUGAAGCUUCUCGCCGCCCAAACCCACCCACUUCAUGAGGGUUGGAAACUGGUUCUUUAACCCUCCGUACGCGUUGAACCCCGCCGUGAAUAUUAUGUUGUGAAUGGCCUCGCUUCUUUCGAUCCCGGCCUUCUCUGCUUCUUCUAGAAGCUUCCCCGCGUUCGCCGAGAAUGCUUCGUAGAGCUUCUUGUAGCUCGAUUUCGCCAGGAAAGCUGGGAAUGGAACCGUACGGAUCAAGAAAUCCUCUAUGUAAUUGAAGAUCUUCGGGAGCCCCAGGGUCGCCAGUGGUGCCAGCUGGAACAGUAGCCACGUGUCAAACAGCUUCGGCCCUUCUGAACCUAGGUUCGUCUCCGCAGGAUCCUUUUAACAACAGAAAAAAUGGAGAUAAUACUUAAUUUAAUCCUGAAGUUAUACUUGACUCUCAAUUUAGCUCUUAAAGUUUUAAUUGUCUUAAUUUAGUUUUCAAACUUUUCAAUCGACUCUAGGACAAAAAUCACUGUAAAGACUAACGUGAUUAAAGAAUGAAAAGUUCAUAGACCAAACUGAGUAUUUUUCUUUUUAAAUGCGAAUUAGUUAUUACUACCACGUGAAACGAGCUAACGAUUCAGUUAGUUAGUUAGAAUAAGUACCUUAUUGUUGCAGAAGAGGCGGAACAUGAAGUUGAAGGAGGCGGAGGAGACGGCGUCGUUUAGGUUUGCAGUUGCAGUUUUGGAAGAGAGGUUGUUCUCGAUUUGAGUGAAGCAUUCGGCAACAACGUUGCGGAAGAGAGGAAGAAACAGUUGCUUCCUGGAGGCGAUGGUGCUGAUGAAGAAGCUCUUGAGUGCGGCGUGGGCGGGCUCGUGGGUGUCGAGGUAGGCGCAGACGCGGUAGCCGCCUGUGAAGGAGGUGGAAGGCAUGAAGGUGCCGUCAAGAACGUUGCGCUUCUCAACCUUAGAGUUGUCGAAGAGGAUGGGGAAGGAAACAGCGUCCAAGAGAGCUAUGACUCUUGGAUCGGAGGAGAUAAAGGGGCCAGGUGGCAUGUUAGUACGGAUGACGGUGGAGUUAUACUUUUGGAUCUUGGAGAGGAAGAAGGUGUCGCGGCCUUGGUGGUAGAAGUAAUCGUGGCGGUCCUUUAUGGGUCCGAAGAAGGGAAGGCCGUAGGUUCCGGGGAUGGUUCUGAGUGGCUUAUUGAUAAUCUUGUUGGUAGAAGCCAUUGUUAAGGCCAGGCUACGGAAUGAUGUAUUAUUUUUGUUUUAUUUUGAUACGAAUAAUGGAGUGGGAACGAUAAAUGGUCCUAUAUAUAUAUGUUUGAAGUAGCAGCUACAUGUUAGUAGUCAUUGUCUAUAAUUCUCUUUCUUAUUUAUUUAUUUAUGAUUAAUCCCCUGAGACUAUAAAUAUUAAUAAUAGAAUGUAAAAAUUCAGGUACAAUUGAUUUUAUGUGAAAUUAAUAAUUGAAAGUGUUUUAUGUGAAAUUGAUAAUUGAAGGUGAUUAAAUGAUUUGAUUGAUUUGACUAAAUUUUCAUUUAAUAAUUUUUAACUAUCAAUUUUACUUAGAAGUCGACUGCACUUGAGUUUCCAGCUUAGUAAAAAUAGCAAGUUGAUGGAGGAUAAUUAUCAAAUGAGAAUUGGUUUGGUCAGUAGUGGUGCCUAUUGGCUGCUGCUACGUCGACCGUCGAGGUGGCAACUAAAGAAUAUUCACGGACAUGCCGCCGUGCAUGCCAGCCACCUUAGCUAGCUCCCGAAAUUUAGUGAAAAUAAUAAAAUGCGACUAGAAAUGAUAGAAAUUAGUAAACUUGGGUAAUUAGUUAGUAAUAUUUAAAAAUGUAUUNNNNNNNNNNNNNNNNNNNNNNNNNNNNNNNNNNNNNNNNNNNNNNNNNNNNNNNNNNNNNNNNNNNNNNNNNNNNNNNNNNNNNNNNNNNNNNNNNNNNNNNNNNNNNNNNNNNNNNNNNNNNNNNNNNNNNNNNNNNNNNNNNNNNNNNNNNNNNNNNNNNNNNNNNNNNNNNNNNNNNNNNNNNNNNNNNNNNNNNNNNNNNNNNNNNNNNNNNNNNNNNNNNNNNNNNNNNNNNNNNNNNNNNNNNNNNNNNNNNNNNNNNNNNNNNNNNNNNNNNNNNNNNNNNNNNNNNNNNNNNNNNNNNNNNNNNNNNNNNNNNNNNNNNNNNNNNNNNNNNNNNNNNNNNNNNNNNNNNNNNNNNNNNNNNNNAUUGGUAGAAAUCUGGUAAAUAAAAAUCUUAAAGAUUAUAAAUUCACAUUCUUAUCACUAUAUUUUAUCUAAAAUUUAGUAUUUCAAACUACAAGCUCUUAGCAUAUCUAAUAUAACCGACUGUUUUUCACUAUUAAAGACAAUUUUGUGUGACCUUUUUUCAUUCAAAUAAACCAAACAAAAUAAACAUAUAUUGAUGAAUAUUUGCUGAGAAAGCCAGCCAUCUUUCCUAACCCUAAGGCUUCCCUUCUGGCCUCCAUUGAUCAAUGCAUUAUGUAAUGAGCCACGUAUAAACACCAUAGUAGUAACCACGUCAAUGCGAAAAUGGUGUAAAGGAUGCAAGUAACUUAUAUUUUAAAUUUUAGAAACUAAAUCAAUUCUUAAAUUAUUUUAUGUAUCAGGUUGAUGCAAGUAACUUAUUUUAUUAUUUCAGUAUAAAACUUUGCGUUCAAUUUUUACUCUAAGUUGUAAGUUAUCAAAAUGAUAGACUCAAAUCCACUAAUUAUUUAAUUAAUUAAUUCAUUAUGCUAAUAUUAAUUAAAUGCUAUGGUCCUCUUAAAAUAAUGGUCGAAUCCUGAAAAGAUGUUAGAUUGCAGAUACACGUUUCUGAAUUCUUUUCCCCCAAAGACUAUAAUUUAUAUGACUAAAAAAACAUUUGAAAUAAUUAACAGAGGGGAGCAUAAUUAUUGAGAGGGAAUGUGUUUAGUACUUUAGUGCCCGUGACAAAUAAAGAAUAGAAAAGUAUUAAUAGACAGGUUUUCUGGGUUUGUGGGCCACAUCAUUUCAUGCCAGCCAGCUACUAAGAAUUGUUAUUAGUACCAAUUUAUAAAUAUUAUUUGGAUUUAGUUAAAAACAAUCUCAAAUUCAUUACUAGGGUGAAUGCAGAUUGAAUCGGAUUGGAUAUUGUCAAAAUUUCGAUUCGAUUUGUAUUAAAAUCAUCGGAUCGGAUCCUAUAUCCACAGUUUUUAAGUUUGGAUCCGAUCCAAUUCACACAUUUGCGGGUCGAAUCGGAUCGGAUCAAAUACCUAUAUCCGCAAAACACAAAAAUAUUUAAAAAACUUAUUUUUAUUAAAAAACAUAUUAAUAAAUUUUUUUUCUAUUUUUUUAAAUAUGUUUACUCUUAAAAUAAUAUUAAAUAUACAUUUAUUAAAUAAUAAAUUAAAAUAAUACAACAUAUAUGAUAAUGAUUAGUUAAAAUAAAAUAUAAAAAGAAAAUUUAUUUAUUUAUUUCUUUAUUUUUGCGGAUAUGCAAAUAUCCACACAAAAUCCGCACUCCGACCCAAUUAGUAUGUGGAUCUGAUCCGACCCAAUUUGAUAGUCUUGCGGAUCGGAUCUAUAUCCGCAAUUUUCGAAUCAGAUUCGAAUAAAUAUGCGAAUCGAAUCUGAUCCAUGAGCACCCCUAUUCAUUCAUUAGGUAAGGUGUUUGUACUGAAAUAUUAAAUUUUUCAAAAUAUUUAUCAUAUAAAGAAUACAUACAACUAUCUUAAAUAACUAAUCUUAACUAGUACCUUAUUUAAAAUGUUUAUUAGCAAUAUUCAUAUUAUUUUUAUUAUAUCUUAUUCAUAUGAUUUUUGCUGUACAAUUAGCCACAUCUUUUAUUAAUAUAUGGAUAAGAUAUACAUAAACUUCAAAUAGCUAUAAAUAAAUAAAUGCAUUCAAAUAAUAUUGUAUAUUCGUAAUAAGUGAAUCUAUUGUGUCCGACAAUGAUUUUAUAGAGAGAGAGAAAGAAAAAAGUUAUAACAGAAAAGAUGAAGAGAAUAAAAAAGUGAAUAAUUAAUCCACUUAUGAAUUCAUUUUUUUUUUUAAUAUUAAAUUCAUCUAACAAUAUUGAUCAUAUACAUUAUUAAAUAUUUUUUUUCUGGUCGUGAUGAUAUUAUUAAGUUUUGUUAAUAAUANNNNNNNNNNNNNNNNNNNNNNNNNNNNNNNNNNNNNNNNNNNNNNNNNNNNNNNNNNNNNNNNNNNNNNNNNNNNNNNNNNNNNNNNNNNNNNNNNNNNNNNNNNNNNNNNNNNNNNNNNNNNNNNNNNNNNNNNNNNNNNNNNNNNNNNNNNNNNNNNNNNNNNNNNNNNNNNNNNNNNNNNNNNNNNNNNNNNNNNNNNNNNNNNNNNNNNNNNNNNNNNNNNNNNNNNNNNNNNNNNNNNNNNNNNNNNNNNNNNNNNNNNNNNNNNNNNNNNNNNNNNNNNNNNNNNNNNNNNNNNNNNNNNNNNNNNNNNNNNNNNNNNNNNNNNNNNNNNNNNNNNNNNNNNNNNNNNNNNNNNNNNNNNNNNNNNNNNNNNNNNNNNNNNNNNNNNNNNNNNNNNNNNNNNNNNNNNNNNNNNNNNNNNNNNNNNNNNNNNNNNNNNNNNNNNNNNNNNNNNNNNNNNNNNNNNNNNNNNNNNNNNNNNNNNNNNNNNNNNNNNNNNNNNNNNNNNNNNNNNNNNNNNNNNNNNNNNNNNNNNNNNNNNNNNNNNNNNNNNNNNNNNNNNNNNNNNNNNNNNNNNNNNNNNNNNNNNNNNNNNNNNNNNNNNNNNNNNNNNNNNNNNNNNNNNNNNNNNAACAAAGUUUUAAAAUUUUUUAUUAAUAAAUAUAAAAUAAAUAUAUUAAAAAUUUAAAUUUUUUAUAAUUUUAAUAAAAAAAUUUCGAUUGUAAUUUUAAUAUAUUUGUUAGAGUAAAAGAUAUAUAAAUUUUAAUUUAAAAAAACAGAAACAAGAAAGUGGCCCACGUUGUAAGAAUUUCUCACCUGAUUACCACAAAAUCCAAGUGUUAAGAACUUCUAAGUUCUUACCUGAUAAUUCAACUUAUUAAUUCACGAAAAAUUUUUCUUAAUUUACGGGUUUUUCUUAUCGAUUUAAAUUAAAAAAAAAAACAAUUUUAUGAAAUACUGAAUCUAAAUUAAAUAUCUGAAUAUUCACUAUUUCACGACAAUAAUAUUGAAUAGAAAGAAGAAGAAAUAAAAAAAAUAAAAGUAAAAUAUCUACAAGAAAUAAUGAUGGAAGAAUCAAUCAGGAAGCAUAUAUAGUCAAAGUGCAUCGAUGGUUUUUUGUCAUAAAUAUUUUUGUUUUUUUAAAUUUAGGAAUUAUUUGAAUAAAAUUGUAGAGAACAAAUUGAAGAUACGAUGUUGACGUCAUCUUUUUAUUUCAAAUUCUCAAUGUUUUAAGUUCGUCAUUCUCAAUGGUGGGAGUGUUUUUACAAGGACUUCAAUAUUCAAAUUAGCAUGGUUCGCAAGAAGAACUAAGUUAAUUAGAGAUCAUAUCUUAGUGCACGUAUUUAGAAUAAUGCAUAUAUUGUGAAGUUGUGAUAUCAUGAGUUCCUUUCCUUAUAUUUUGAUAGAGACUAUGAGUUGGCUUUUAAAUUAAGUUUAUAUAAAAAAAUAAAUUACUAUUUUUAUAAGUUAAUAAUAGUUCGUUAAGUUCAACAAAAGGAGUGAAAUGAUUUCCUUUUUGUUUUUGGGUCAAGAAGUGACCAAAAAUAGUUGAUGAGAAAAAUAAAAACGAAAUUGAAUAUCCCUUAGGGCUUCUGAUCUGUUGAACUAUGUAUUUUUGGAAGGCCUAUUCGUACAUAUAUGUGCAAAGGAAUUAAUUUAAGAGAGUAGAAAAUAACGGGUCCAAAAAGAGAUUACUAAAUCAUAUACAUAGUUAGNNNNNNNNNNNNNNNNNNNNNNNNNNNNNNNNNNNNNNNNNNNNNNNNNNNNNNNNNNNNNNNNNNNNNNNNNNNNNNNNNNNNNNNNNNNNNNNNNNNNNNNNNNNNNNNNNNNNNNNNNNNNNNNNNNNNNNNNNNNNNNNNNNNNNNNNNNNNNNNNNNNNNNNNNNNNNNNNNNNNNNNNNNNNNNNNNNNNNNNNNNNNNNNNNNNNNNNNNNNNNNNNNNNNNNNNNNNNNNNNNNNNNNNNNNNNNNNNNNNNNNNNNNNNNNNNNNNNNNNNNNNNNNNNNNNNNNNNNNNNNNNNNNNNNNNNNNNNNNNNNNNNNNNNNNNNNNNNNNNNNNNNNNNNNNNNNNNNNNNNNNNNNNNNNNNNNNNNNNNNNNNNNNNNNNNNNNNNNNNNNNNNNNNNNNNNNNNNNNNNNNNNNNNNNNNNNNNNNNNNNNNNNNNNNNNNNNNNNNNNNNNNNNNNNNNNNNNNNNNNNNNNNNNNNNNNNNNNNNNNNNNNNNNNNNNNNNNNNNNNNNNNNNNNNNNNNNNNNNNNNNNNNNNNNNNNNNNNNNNNNNNNNNNNNNNNNNNNNNNNNNNNNNNNNNNNNNNNNNNNNNNNNNNNNNNNNNNNNNNNNNNNNNNNNNNNNNNNNNNNNNNNNNNNNNNNNNNNNNNNNNNNNNNNNNNNNNNNNNNNNNNNNNNNNNNNNNNNNNNNNNNNNNNNNNNNNNNNNNNNNNNNNNNNNNNNNNNNNNNNNNNNNNNNNNNNNNNNNNNNNNNNNNNNNNNNNNNNNNNNNNNNNNNNNNNNNNNNNNNNNNNNNNNNNNNNNNNNNNNNNNNNNNNNNNNNNNNNNNNNNNNNNNNNNNNNNNNNNNNNNNNNNNNNNNNNNNNNNNNNNNNNNNNNNNNNNNNNNNNNNNNNNNNNNNNNNNNNNNNNNNNNNNNNNNNNNNNNNNNNNNNNNNNNNNNNNNNNNNNNNNNNNNNNNNNNNNNNNNNNNNNNNNNNNNNNNNNNNNNNNNNNNNNNNNNNNNNNNNNNNNNNNNNNNNNNNNNNNNNNNNNNNNNNNNNNNNNNNNNNNNNNNNNNNNNNNNNNNNNNNNNNNNNNNNNNNNNNNNNNNNNNNNNNNNNNNNNNNNNNNNNNNNNNNNNNNNNNNNNNNAUAAUAGUUCGUUAAGUUCAACAAAAGGAGUGAAAUGAUUUCCUUUUUGUUUUUGGGUCAAGAAGUGACCAAAAAUAGUUGAUGAGAAAAAUAAAAAGAAUAUCCAAUAUCCCUUAGGGCUUCUGAUCUGUUGAACUAUGUAUUUUUGGAAGGCCUAUUCGUACAUAUAUGUGCAAAGGAAUUAAGAGUAGAAAAUAGAAAAUAACGGGUCCAAAAAGAGAUUUGAAUUUAAUUAUACGUUUCUAAUGAAAUGUGAUAAAACACUAACAAAUGAAGAAGUUUGUCAAAUAUUGUAAUUAUAUUAAUUUUAGUUUUUAGUAUUGAUAAUAAUGCUCUUUCUAAUUUUCACGUUCUCUUUUAUUCUAUCACACCAUACGUGAAGUACAUUUGCAAGAAUGAGUGAUUAUACGUUUCUAAUGAAAUGUGAUAAAACACUAACAAAUGAAGAAGUUUGUCAAAUAUUGUAAUUAUAUUAUAUAUUAAUUUUAGUAUUGAUAAUAAUGCUCUUUCUAAUUUUCACGUUCUCUUUUAUUCUAUCACACCAUACGUGAAGUACAUUUGCAAUAGAUGAGAAUGAGUGUUAUCUCAUGUCAUUGUUAUAACGUACAACACAAUUACGUUUGAUUAAGGUUGUUAUCUAUGUUUGAAUUUGACUUCAAAUAAUCCUAGCUAGCUAGAUGCUUUAUUUGUCAACUAUUAUAUGUAUAACUGAGAAUUCCAAAGGGCUCAAGAAUAAUGAAAUUAUUAUUUGAUUGAUUUCAUCCAUAUUCAUGAAUGUAUCAUCACAACAUGUACAACAUUAUCCUCAACGUUUGUUUUUGUCGAGUGUUUAGGCAGCCGACACGUGUCUAACUUCAACUCUAUUCCCUUGCCCGUGAUAUUCCUUUAAACACUUGUCCAGCGCAGCCAUACUAUGCACCAAAGGAAAUUAAUCAAUGAUAUAUAUUAAGCCAAUAACUUAACGAUAUUAUUUGAAAAAAGUAUAGAUAGACAAUAAAAAUACUAAACAAUGUGAAUAACUGAUAUAUCGAAUGUUUAUUUUAUUAGGUGUACGGAUAGUUGUUCUAAUAUUAAAAUUUAGGUGAAUAAUUUGAAGGUGUAGUAUAUUUUAAUUUGAUUAGUAAUUAUUUAUGUUAUUCAAAAAAGUUAUUGAAUACCUAACAUUACCCUAUUAUUUGUAUGUUUAAUUUUAUUUCCACUUCAUAAAAAGUGACAAAUCAAAGCAAGAAAUUAAAAGUCUAGGCUCAAGCAAAUGUAGGGUGUUAUCAGUUCGGUUUGGUUUGGUUUUGGACAAAAAACCAAUUAAAUCGAUAUGUUCGGUUUUUAUAGAUACACAAUCGUUUGGUUUGUUGUUUUUACAACAAUCGAAUUGAAUCAAUAGCGGUUUGGUUCGGUCAAUUUUUUCGAUUUUUAAUUCCUAAUGAAAAGAAUAUAAAUCACAAUAAUUAGAGGUUCAAAAUAGUCAAUAAAUUGAAAUAAUAAGAAUAAAACAUUGAAAUGGUUAGGGGUUGAGGAUUUUUGUUGUUAGGUUAAAGGUUAAAAUGAUUAAAACAUUGAAAUGUAUGCAUAUAUUCGGUUCGAUUUUUAUCAAACCAACCGAAAAUCGAGCCGAAUCGAUCGGUUUUGUCAGAAAAAACAAAAAAAAAGACAAUUUUUUUCGGUUUUUAAGUCGGUUAUUGUAAUUUUCGAUUCAAUUUUGCAGUAAUUUUCGGUUCGGUUUGGUAACUUACACCCCUAACCGAAUGUAUAUAUGCAUGCAUGACACUAACAAUAAAUAAAAAAAGUUUUAGUAGUAUAAUUGCAACAACCAAUAUUUUAAGAGAAAUGUUAGGGAGCCAGCAAUUUUUGUGAUUUAUAGCCAUCAAAUAGCUAUCAAUAAUAGUUUUAAUGGUGUGAGAUUGGAUCCAAUAACUCACUUUUCUUUGCUGAUUACAUGCUGACCAAAAUUUAAUAAAGUUACUGGUCCUAGACUUUUCCAUAUUUUAAUUUGGACCUACUUUCAAAUGAGUUGUUACAUUGGGAAUUUGUAUAAAUGGGGACAGACAAAAUAGCUUGUUGGAAUGACCAAUGAAGAAUAAGUUGUUAAAUUGAGAAAUUUUUUAAUAAUUAAUUAUUUGUUUGAAUCGAACUGGUCAAAUGAUCAGUGUUUAAUUAAUCUAGUUGAAUUGACUAAUUCAACUCCAUUCUCAACACCAUAUUCUUAACCCUAUCAUUAACUUCUAAGAUUGGCUUCAUAAAGAAGCGACGGCAAUCACAUAUAUUUCCCAUAUAAACCUAAUAUUUUUAAUGCAUUUUGAGAAAUGUAAAAGGUGAUUGACAAGAAUAUACAUCUCACCACUAGUUCCGUUUCGGAAUUGCUAAAUCUAAGAAAUUGAUAAGAUUUCGCUUAUAUUUAGUCAAUAUGGUUUAGAAGUCGGUAAAAAUUCAGGUGCAGUUGAUUUUACGUAAAGUUGAUAAUUAAGAGUUAUUAGAUAAAAAUUUAGUCAAAUCAUCUAACAGUUUUUAUAUAUCUACUUUAUGUGAAGUCGACUGUACCUGAAUUUUUACCAUAACUUUAACUUUUGGGUAUACAAAUCUUUUAUUAAUUAAUAUUCGGUCAAUAUAAAUUUUAUAUCUAUAAUUUUUAAAUUUUUAAACAUAUAAGGUUGUAUUUACUAUUUAACAUCUCUUAAUUAUCAACUUUACGUAAAGUUAAUUGUACUUGAUUUAUAUAUAUAUGCCACUUUCUAGAACAAAAUAAAAAAAAAGCCACAUCUUUUGGCCAAGUGUCCAAUACAAAUUUCUAGCCACUCCCGUGACACUAAUCUGAUGAGUGUCAUCCUUGUAAUUAACACCAUCUUAAUUCUUAUGAUCCUCUUUGCUGUGAUUUUGACCUAGCAUAUGUGAGAAGCGUUUACUCUUAUUAUUUUUUGUUAUUUUAACAAUAUAUGGUUUGAUUUUAAAAAUCAUGCACACUACUAUAGCUACGUGACCUUUUAUCACUUUUUAAUAUUGCUUGAUGAAAUGUUUAUUAUUUGGCAAUAAACUAUGACUAAUAACUGGCAUUUGUUAGUUAAUACGUCUCUAAAUGUCAGCAUCAUGUUAUUCUUGACAUUUUAAUUACUUUUCUAGUAAGUUUUUUUUUUUUUUUUUUCUGGAGACCAAUUUUUAAUUUUUUUUUUAGUAAUUUUUUUUUUUUUUUUUUUCCUGAAGACCAAUUUAGUAUAUAGAUUUUGUCAUUUUAAGUUAUUAAAAAGAUGCCUUUAAACACUUCAAUAUAUAACAAAGGCAUCUUCAAUAAUGAUGAUGAUCAUCAUCAGUCCUCGACAAUAUAUAUGCAUGGCAUUUUCAUAUAUAAAUAAAUACCUUUACGCAGAUACACUAUCCAUCUCAUCUAAGAACUCGGUACAAUAAUUAUAUAUUAUAACAACUAUAAGCUUAUUUUAAUAUAUAAGAGUCCAGUAUAGUUAUAAGUCUUGAUUUAGUUUACGUAACUAAAAUAUUUUUAGUUUAUAUAGAAAUACUUAUUAAAGUAGACAUAAUUUAUAUAUGGUGGGAAUGUGGGAUAGAAUUGGAAGGACACCUGCAAGAAUCCGGUGAGAUAAGUGAAGCCCUAACGCAGCUACUAAAGUCAAAAUGUUGGUGAAAUGUUUGGUACAAAGAGCUUUUAAUAUCUACGAUUGCUUACCUCAAUCCUAAAAUAAUAUAAUCUAUGAUGUGCUUUGCAUGGUCCAUAUGCUUUCUUUUCCGGCAAACGCAAUCUAUCUUUUGACAAUACAAGAGUUAUGUUUUCUUCAAAUGUUAUGCUCACGUAUUUGUUAAGGGGAUCCGAAUACUCACAUGAUGAUUAUAUUUUUAUAUGAAGAUGAUAUUGUGAACUUUUAGAUAGUUAACUAAAUAUAUUUAGUCAAACAUAUUAAUUUAUCUAAUGAUAUAUAAUACUAUCGUCAUGUGAAGAUAUCAUUACGAGAAUAUCUACCAUUUGUUAAUACAUCAUAUUAAAUAGAUUUGGAAAAUCUACUUUUUUAAUACUUUAACUUGUGAGAAAAUAAAAUAGAAUUAAUAACAGAAUAUAUAUAUAUAAAAAGGGGAUGCUUCAAUAAAGAUGUUUAAAACGUCUUUUUUAAAGAUGUUUUUCAAUAAUUAAAAUUUAACACAUAUAAUCGAUUAAAUUGUGUUACUUUUUGUUAAAAUUAGGCAGAUAAAUUAAUUUGACCAAAAAAUGGUUAAUCAAAUUUUGAAUCGGUCUAAAUUAAUAUUAUUUUUCAUAAAAAAUUAUUACAAUACCCCUAUUAUAGAAAAUGACUAAAAUACUCUUAUUAUAUAUAUAUUAACUUUAAAAAUUCUAAAUUCUAUCCCUUUUUUUUUUCUUCCGUCGUCAUAGGAUUAGGAUUUAGAGUUUUUUAAUUAGGAAUAUUAUAGUCAUUUUUUAUAAAAAAAAUAUUAAUUUAGACCGCUAGUCUAAUUUUAAUAAAAUAACACAGUUUAAUUAAUUAUAUAUAUUAACAAUUUUAAUUUUUUAAAAAACAUCUUUAAAAAAAGACAUUUUUAACAUCUUUAUCUAAGUGACCUCCAUAUAUAAAACUACUUAAAAUGAAAUAGUUAAGGACUUGGUUUUUGUUAUUAGUUACUCAUAUAUUAAAUUUAAGGUGAAAACUCAGAUGAAAUCGACUUUACAUAAAGUUGAUAUUUGAGAGUAAUUAAAUAAAAAUUUUAUCAAAUUAGUCAAAUCAUUUAACAACUCUCAAGUAUUAACUUCACGUAAAAUCAAUUACACCUGAAUUUCUAUCAUAAAUUUAAAUUAACGGAGUUUUUUUUUUCUUUCGUGUAAAAAAAAAAAAGCGAUGUUCGUUGUAAUCAAACCGAUAUACUUUGUUUUCUUUUUGUUACAAAAAGACUAUUUUAAGUGUGUAAUUACAAAUUCCCAAACAAUUUGUUAAAAGUGAAGCCAAAUUUAAUUAUGAGAAGACGUAUACAAAGAAAUUGUGAUUAUCCCGAAGAGAAACAAAAACUCUGUAUGUAACCACUAACUAACCAAGCAUUACCUAUUCAUACCGGACUUACAAUACACCACACAUUAUGUGGCACCGCCACGUGUCCCCAAUCACUAUUACUCUUCUAUUCAAUGUUCAUGCAUUUCUCUCUCUCUUUCAAUCUCUCUUUUAUUUAUAUAACCUCAUAAUCCAAUCUCACCUCUCCAUUCUCUUAAACAAAUCUCAUACUUUCCUUCUCCCUCUUCUUCAAUUUUUUUAAUUAUUAAUAAAAUCUUGAUUUAAUUCUUAAAUUUUUUAAAAACUAGAAUCAAACACGAAAGUAUCUACCAUGUUUGUUGAUCCAAGCCCAACGUUACACCGGCAAAAGCUUGGAGUCUUAUUGCACUCCGAUCUGCCGUCAUCACCUCACGUCGACCACGACCACGACCUCCAAAGCGAGGAUUCAGACUACUGGAGUCAGCGGCCGAGUAGCGCCUCGGGCGCCACCAGUUCCACCGUCGGUUCUCCAUACAUGACGUCACCAUUGAACUACCAAGGUAACACCUCUCCCUACAACAAAUCGCCAUGGCUUUUGCCGUCUACGCCACCAAAGCAGCUGAAACAGAACUUGAUGACGGUGCGAAACGGGCUGGUCGGGUCGCUGGUAAGGGAAGAAGGGCAUAUAUACUCGCUGGCGGUGUGUGGGGACUUGCUGUACACCGGCUCCGAUAGCAAGAACAUUAGGGUUUGGAAAGAUUUGAAGGACUUUACCGGCUUCAAAUCAAGAAGCGGUUUAGUUAAGUCUAUAAUUAUUUCCGGCAAAAUAAUAUUCACCGGUCACCAAGACGGAAAGAUUAGAAUAUGGAAGGUGUCCCGAACCAACCCAACCAACCACAGGUAAUAACAAAAAGAUGCGUGGAGUUAAUUUUAUAAAUUUGACUAAAUUAUUAUUAAAGUUUUUUAAUUAUAAUUUCAUANNNNNNNNNNNNNNNNNNNNNNNNNNNNNNNNNNAAUUAUGAGAAAAUUUAAUAACAGUCACGUGAAGUUAAUAGUUGAUAAUUUAAUUAAAAGUUGUUAAAUAAUUUGACUAAAUUUUUAUUUAACUAUUUUCGUCAAUCAAUCUCACGUGAAUAUUGUUGAAGUAUUUUUGUUAGUUAGUUUGUGUAUAACUAACUCUAAAACAGUAACUGACUAACCGUUGGGUUGUUGAUGGAACAGGCGCAUAGGGAGCUUACCGACUCUAAGAGAGUACGUGAAGAGCUCCGUGAUACCGAAGAGCAAGGGGAGGCACUACGACGCCGUUUCGAGUCUAAGCCUCGACGAGGACCAAGGCCUCUUGUACUCCGCCUCCUGGGACAAAACCGUCAAGGUAUGGAGCAUUUCCGAUUCCAGAUUCUUGGAAUCCAUUGAAGCGCAUUCCGACGCCGUCAAUGCAGUCGUCGCGGCGUUCGGGUGCUAUGUUUUCACCGGAUCCGCAGACGGCACGGUGAAGAUGUGGCGAAGGGAAUACCAAGGGAAGAAAGGGAUCACCAUGCACGUUCUAGAAGAGGUUUUGUUGGAUCAUGAGAGUGCCGUCACGGCACUCGCGGUCAACCGGUGGUCCAUGGUGCUUUACGGCGGAUCUUCCGACGGAGUGGUGAGGUUCUGGGGAAUGAGAAGGUGUAACAAUAAAAAGCAUGGAUUCUCUCAGGAGGGAGUGCUGAGAGGGCACAAGCUUGCGGUUCUCUGCGUGGCGGUGGCGGGGAACCUUGUGGUGAGUGGCUCCGCCGAUAAGAGCGUUUGCGUGUGGAAGAGAGACGAGGAGAGUGGGAAACACGCGAUGCUUUCGGUUCUUAACGGUCACAGUGGACCAGUUAAGUGCAUUGCAGCUAUACAAGUUGAAGAAGAAGAGGAAAGUUAUGGGUGGAUGGUGUACACUGGGAGCUUGGACAACUCCGUCAAGGUCUGGCGCGUCUUGGAUAACGUGCCGCCGCUUCAGUCGCCGCUGGAAGUCACGGCGGCCCCCGCAAGAAUUAGUGUUAUUAAUAAUAACAAUAACAGGAUAAAGAAAGAUUAUUAUCGUUUCAUUAAAUCAAAAUUAACACGUAAUUUAUGAAUGAAUUCUAUCAUGUUUUUAAUUACUUGGUGCAGUAACUAAGUAUAUUAGCAAUUUAGCAUACAAAAUUUAUUUGUCCCUUUAAUCACAAUUCCAAUCUUUACCCUACUGAAUUAAAAGAUACCUUAGGAAAACAAAAUUAUAAAGGUAGCGUUUGGUGGAGAGACAGAGACGGAAAGACUGAGACUGAGAGACAAAGACUAAAAGAUAGAGAUUGAAAUAAAUUUUAGUAUUCUAUUUGUUGUAAAGUGGGAGACAGAAAUUAAUUAAUUGAAAUAAGAAUAUUUUAGAUAUAAAAUGUUAAAAUUUCAGUUUCUAUCUCUAAAAAUUUGUCUCUUGUGUCUCUAUUUUUUAGAGGUACUGAAAUACUAAAAUUUUGAGGACAAAAACAAAAAAUUUAGUAUCAAUCUCUAAACCAACAAACAUGAUACUAAGUCCAAUCUUUCAUUCUCCUUGUAUCUCAAAACAAAUGGUACCUAACAAACCUUCAAAGUGUUGUCUAAAAUUUGCCUACUUUUGUCUAUAAUCUUAUCUUUUGAAUUUUGUGGAGCCAUGAAAAGAUAAUUAAAAUUUCUCUCAAAGUAAUCAACAUAUUAUAUAUCAUCUUUAAUGAUAAGUCAAACAUAUUUUUACAAGUGUGAACCUACAAUUGAGCGAAAGUAAUUAUUGGAAAUUUGGAAUAACAUUCUUGGUUGUCCUUGUUGAAGAAGGGCUUAAGAUUUUAUGGUGUACAAAUGGUUUUGUUAUUGGAGAGGAGGGUGUUAUGGUAAUUCCAGGUUCCAUUAAUUGAUUGAGACGCAUAGAAAGUUACAUACUUCAUGCAUCUGCCCCCAAAGGAAGGGACUAUUUGUAGCCUGAUAUACUCUGAGAUAACAUUACAUACAUUCAUAUAUACAUAUUAUUGGACAUUGGACAACUACUCAACAAAGCUAGGUGCCAAAAAUGGAAAAGCUAAUAAAGCAAAACGACAUUCUUUGUUUUAAUUGCUGACAAAAGAAAGCUUUAUGGAUGAAUGUAUUGAAGAGAUAAAUACCUUAAAUAUUGCGUUUGAGGAAACGUCAACUCUGGCUAUGUAGUAUAUGUACCAUGGUUGUGAAUGCUACUAAUUUGUUUGGUGUAAUUUAUAAGGUUGGUUUUAUUAUAUUAUAUACAUCAUCUACAGCUUUUUAAUAUAUGAUUAAUCUUGUGUAGCUCAUUUCUUGAAUUUGAAAGGCAUAGAAAAAUAUACCAAUAAUAAGAGAAAAAUGAUAUUUGUAUAUACUUUUAUCUUCCUUUUACAAUAUAAAAGACCAUCUUUUAUCUCCUCAUUUCUUAUUAAUCACUCUUAAUAUAAAAAAAAGNUAAUAAAAUUUAAUUUUAAAUUAUUGAUAUAAAUUAUUAAAUAUAAUAAAUAAAAACUAAAAUUUAUUUAAUUAAUAAAGAGUGCAACAAUGGUUAAAAACAUUUGAAAAUGAGUCAUAAACUAGGGAAACGCUUUUAUGGAUAAUAGCUAUUUUUGCAAUAUCCUGUGUAUUAUUGGACUGAGGAAUUGGGUUAUAGAGGCCCAUAACUUUUCACGCAACAUCUAGAAAGCAACUAUUGUUUCAGCCCAUAAUCUUUUUUUCCCCAUGACAGAAAAAACAUAUGCUUUUUACCCAAAAAAAAAAAAGAAAGAAAAAAUAUAUGCUAUUUUGUCUUUUAUUUUUUCUUUUGGACUUUCUCAGUUUCUCACUUUCUCUUAAGAAAGCAACUCUUCCGUCCCUUUCUCAUCUCAAAGGUCUCGGGCUUAAUUCCUACCAACGGCAACCGAGAAAAAGAAAAAUGGUAAGUAUGUGAGGAACGUGUGGGUAGGGGUGUUCGCGGAUCGGAUCGGAUCGGAUAUGGCCAAAAUUCCGAUCCGAUCCGCACUACAAUCAUCGGAUCGGAUCCAAUAUCCGCAGUUUUUAAGGUUGGAUCCGAUCCGAUCCGAUCCGCACAUUUGCGGAUCGGAUCGGAUCGGAUACCGGAUAUAUCCACAAAACACAAAAAUAUUUUUAAAAGCUUAUUUUUAUUAAAAAAAGAUCAAUAAAAUUUAUUUUUUCUAUUCUUUUAAAUAUGUUUACUCUUAAAAUAAUAUUAAACAUACUUUUCUUGAAUAAUAAAUUAAAAUAAUUUAACAUAUAUGAUAAUUAUUAGUUAAAAUAAAACAUAAAAAGAAUAUUUUACUUAUUUAUUUCUUUAUUUUUGCGGAUACGCGGAUAUGCGGAUCGGAUAUGCGGAUACCAACACAAAAUCCGCAAUCCGAUCCGAUUAGUGUGUGGAUCCGAUCCAUAUCCGCAAUUUUCGGAUCGGAUUCAGAUAAACACCGCGGAUAUGCGGAUCGGAUCCGAUCCAUGGACACCCCUACGUGUGGGUGUGUAUUGUACCUAGGAUUGAGGGUUGUCCAAUCCAUUUGAAGUACCUAGGAUUGGGGGUUGUCCAAUCUCCAUGACCAAAAAAAAAAAAAAAAAACUCAACCAAAAAAGAGAAAAAAGAAACCAACUUGAGUUGAUUAAGUAGUCACUAGUCAACUCACUCGUCCGCUUAAAUAAGUGUCGAAUGUUCGAAUUCUGUCUUGUGCAUGCAUCAAUUCAUUAGCCAGCGAUAAACCCUUAAAUGAAGUUCAGAUCCACGGCGGAUUUUUAAGAUGAACUAUUGAAUAUACAUAGUUUCUUUUUUGUUGUUUUUUUUUUAAUUUUUUUAUUUUAUUUUUUAUUUUUAUUUUUAUUUUUAUUUUUACUAAGGUUAGCAUGUUUGCAAAAUAUCUAUUGAGAUAGUUUCCAUUAUUAAUUGUUAAUUAAUAAUUAAUUAUGAUACUGAUACCUACAAACAAGCCAAUUUAGUCCUUGUCUUCAUGAUAAUUAUGGUAGCCAUUUAGUAAUGAAUGAAAAACAUUAAAUAUCUAUGUAUAUUCCUAUGCCAAACCUGAUAUUUUCUAGGACGACUAUAACAAAAUAUCCAGGCUAGAACAACACUUUAACAUUGACCCCUCUUGAAAUAUCUAAACUUCCAAGCUAAAAAGCAUGGAUACUCAAAUGAAAGAAAAAUAUAUAACAAGAUAGGGGUAUUGAAAUUUGAAAAAGAAAAAACGGCGGAUCUAUAUUCAUCACUUUGUACAUUUUCUUUCAAAUUAUGCUUAUAAUCCUUAUAUUCACUUUGUACAUUUUCUUGCUUUUUUUUUUCUUAUCUUCUAAUCUGUAUUCAAAAUCAAUUUGUCUAAUUAAAAACAUGGCUAAAUCUCUAUAGUGGUCCUGAGAUUCACGACUUUUACUAUUUUAGUCUUUUAGAUUUAAAAUUUACUAUACUGAUCUCCGAGAUCCAGCUCUAGUAACUAUAUUAGUCCUUGAACUCUUUCCAAUUUGAGUCAACGAAUGGAAUGCUAACCUAGCUCAGUAGCUCUGACUUGCCAAACUAGACACAUGACUAAAUAGCGUCUUUUAGUUUUAUAUCUUAAAUAAGACAAAAACAUGGUCAUUUUGGAAAAUGAAUGGAAAUAUAAUGAUUUACACAUCAUAUAAACUCUUCUUCCUCUUCUGAUUUUUGCCGUGUUCAAAUGUCAAAACAAAACGACGUUGUUUAGUCAUGUGUCCAGCAUAGCAAGUCAGAGCCAAUUCAACACUUAGUUUGUUUGAUUCAGUACUAGAAAGGGUCCAAAGACCAAUAUCAUGUCCAAAAAUGAAAUCUCAAAACCAGUAUAGAUAAUUUUGAAUUUGAACGACUAAAAUGGUGAAAACUGUCUGAGGAACUACUUUAAAAAUUUAGUCUUAAAAACAUAUGUCAAUAAUAUUGUAGAGUUAUUUUUUGGUUAAUGUCCACUUGUGAAUGCAUAAGUGUGUUGUCUGAACAGCAAGUUCUCUAAUAUUUCAGAGAAUGCAAACUUAAACUAUGAAUUAAGAUGAAAAUAAAUUAACUUAAAACUUUUAUGUUUUGCAUAGCUAAAUAACAAAUCUUUUAUUAUAUUUUAUUAGUUUUUUAAAAUGAAAAAUAGCAAAAAAAAAAAGUUUUCAGUGUAAAACAUGAUCCCUUACCAUGUACAGAAAUUUCCACGGUUUUGGAUAAUCUUAUUAAUUAACUUCAAUUAUCACCAAAAAUCCUUUUAAGGAUAUGGUUGGGAUGAAAAUUUUCAGUUACUAAUUACAAACUUUGGAAGGAAAAAAUGCCAAUUACUGAAAACUACACGAAUAGUUUUUCAGUUUCUUGCUUGGUGAUUGUAAUUGGAUUAUCCAAUAAAGUAAGAGCAACUAAUUAAACCAAUGACGUUAUAGUUUCUAUAAUAUACGAAUAAUGUUGUUAUCUAUCUGAGAAUCUAAAAGUGAAUACCAGAGAACUUAAAAAAUCAUAAUUCAGAUAUUGGAGUAGGAGUUAUAUAAACAUAGUAGUUUUCAUAAUAACAGAAUUUUCGUUACAAUUUUCUUAGUGUAUGGCAUAUACAUAUAGAUAGAAUGAACAAGACAUGUUUAGCAAUUAAUAAUCAGCAAGGAACAAAUCUAUCCAUAAGCAAAGACACAGUUUCCUCUGACAUGGUUGAUACCUCUCUCUGAACAGCCACCAUCUCCUUUUGAGAUUCCCUUUUCAUUGCUUUCUCUUCUUUAGCUUUAUUAUUGGCUGCCACUACUUUCUCUCUAAGCUUUGUUAACUCCCACAUCCAUGCUUCUACCAUUGCAGACAUUUUUUUUUUUGGCAAAUCACUUAAGAGUUUUCUCUUAUUUGUUGAGAGCUUUGUUUUCUGUUUUGAAAUGAAGGUUGGAAUGCAAAUGGUAUGGUUUAUAUAAGGGAAUGAAUAGGAAUAGGAAUAGGAAUCGGAAUAGGAAUAAUAGGAACAGGAAUCUUGGGAUAUACUCAAAAUCUAGAAUAUUAUUCUUUUCUAGAUUUAUAUUGGCUGCCUAAUGCAAAUUUUUCAUGAGUGGUGGAUAUUCAUUCAAUUUCAUGAUUUUCUCAUCUUGUCACAUGUGGCAUCGUGGAAGAAUCCAUAGCCUAUUANNNNNNNNNNNNNNNNNNNNNNAGAGUUAUUAUUAUUAUUAUUAUUAUUAUGAGUCAAUCAUGCAUUGAUGAUUAUUUGAUAUCAACAAUGCUAUAUGGUCAGCAAAUAUUAUUAUUUUGAGUAAAUACUUGGCCAACAAUAAUUUGCACUUAUAUUUAUAGAGGUUUGCACACAAAAAACACAUAAUUUGUACAUAUAUUUACCAGAGUUUAUAUAGACGAGUCAAUACAUUUUGUACCUAUAUUAACAUUUGCCAGAUUUUACACACGUGAAUUAAUAAGAUUUUUUUGUUAAUGACAAUUUGAUGUUUAUGCUACCAAAUACUAGUCAAAAUUGCUAAACUCUGCUAGCUCUAAAGAGUUUCUGAUUUGAUAUAUAUUAGCCAUUCAUAAACAGUUACAAUAACAACAAAGUCGAAUCUGUUAUGUGUGUCGACUAUAUGAAUCAAACGAUGUUAUUGCAUCAUGUCAUAUAUUAUAUUUGUGAUAGAAAUUUAGGUAUAGUUAACUUCAUGUGAAGUUGAUAGUCGAAAGUCGUUAAAUAAUUUGACAAGUUUGACUAAAUAAUAAAUUGUCAUCUAACAUCUCUCAAUUAACAAUUUCACGUGAAAUUAACUACAGCUGAGUUUUCACCUAUACUUGCAAUGAACUCAUUUUUGUUUAGGCCUCAUAAGAUCAACUCGUUCAAAAUCUUCUUAGAUCUUCAACAAUUAUAAAUGAAGUGUCGUGAGGGAAAUAAUAAGCAAGUAAUAACAAAAGAUAAGUCUUUAGUGAGUGUAAUGUUAACAAUGCAAGCUGAUUAAGAGUUUUGUUUGGCAUGCAUUGGUUUGGUCCCCCCAUUGGUCAAGAAAGGAAAAUUCUUUAUUUCUAUUAGGACAAAUUAAACAUAGGAAGUGACAAGUGAGAGCCACAAAAUGAAGAGGGUGGUGGUGAAACAGGACAACCUAAUGGUCCUGUUUUUGUGCUGUCAAAGUGUGCAAGUGCAUGUAUACGAGUUUGAGAAGAAAACGUGCUUCUUUUACAAGCAUACAUUCAUACAUACAUACCCACUUUCCACCCGCUUUCUAUCAUUUGUUUGUUUCUUACAGUCAUUACAUAGCCUUAAAUACCAAAUUUAUGAACGAAUAAAGAAUAUUCAUUAGAAGCAUUUCACUCUGUCACAAUACAAAAAUCUUGAUAAUCAACAAGAUAAAUGAUUUUUCUGUACAUAAUCUAAGUUUACAAAACUACGCCCUAUGUUCCCAAGAUGCAAAUUAAAACAAAAACCAUUGAUCAUGGCAGCUUUUCUUGCUUAAAGAAUGAAUAGUAGCCAGCAAAUAAAGCCAUAUAUCAAUGGCACCACUAGAGGGGGAAAAAUGGUCUUGUCUUCCUACUAUGACGAUCUGAUCUUUAGCAUAAGUGACACAUUCGAUAGGAUGGCCAACAAGGAGGUCUAUACAGGUUGGUGAACAUGCAUAUUCUCAUGAACACUCAUGACAACAUUCCGCAACUCCGGAAAUAUAGAUAUAAGUAGAAGUUCAAGGAUUGCAUAAGCAAGUUGCUUCACACAUAUAGAAGACUAGAAUGAAACAAGACACAGCAUAAUUGUUAGUUUAGAUUAAGAUAAGCAAAAUGCACAAGUAGACAAAACAAAAUGACAAAGCAUAGAAAAAAGUUAACUUAUAUGAAGUGUUGAAUAUAAUACUAUUUAUGUUCUUUACCCUACGGUUUUAACUCUAAUUAAGAAGAGAUAGUUCAUAAAUAACACAAACAAGUGAAUGCAAUAAUGGCAAAGAGCUUAACCUGGCUAAAGUAAUAUAUGUCACUGGCGCAACGUCUAUAUUGUUUCGCACCAAUUAAGCUCACCAAGGCUGCCGGAGCUCCAUCUGAUAAAAAUGAAGGCAACUUUAUAUUUUAUAAUAUGACAAGUUGCGGUUAUUUGAAUCAUGAGAAUGGAAAUGCUGUUCGAUUCAACUCUGAGAAUGUUCUUAAGUAUAACCCGAAGAAUUAAUUUAUAAACAAUGAGUGACAUAACAUUUUAAAAGGUUCCUCCGCGACAAUGAAAUCAGUUGCUUAUAACAUUUUCAUAACAUUUUAAUAAGUUCAAGAGGAAACCUCUCAAACUUGUAAGAAUAAUAAAAUCAGUAGGAAAACAUUUUUGUCUCCUUUUAACAGGGAUACAAGUUUGAAGAAAAUAAGGGGGAAAAGAAGUGCAAACAGACUAUCUAAGAGAAUUUCAAAAGAAUUAACAAAGGACUAACCAAAGAGCAGUUUCUUGAGUUCACUUGCUCUACGAGCAGCUUCAAGCUGUUGCUCGAAAGACCCUGACUCUGUUCUUGGAAUCUUGCUUCCAACAGAUUCAUUUGUUUCUUGCAAUGGCUUUUGAUCAAUUCCAUCCAUUAAUAUCUGGGCUGUCCGUACUCUUAGGAAAAAGGUACCUCCAGGCCACAGGAUCUGCAAUUGAUCAAACCACUUAAAAAAUGGAACACUACCAAAAGAAAUUGUUAGCUAUUUUUUUCAUUCUACUUUUUUUUUUCCUGGAUAGAGUUACAGUGACCGAUGUUCAAGUAAGUAAGUGUCUGUUUGAUAACAUCAAUGUUAUUAUUGUCAUGUAUUCAUCUUAUGUCACUGUGUUAUAAGUUAAAACUUAAAAAGGGUACAAAAAAUCGAGUGUGAAAAUUUUAAAAUAAUGCUGAAUAAUCCUUACAUCUUGGAGCCACCGAAUCCCCUGGGCAAUGGUAUCCUCUCUCCGAAGCCAAUGGAUCUCUCUUAGAAUCCAAUCAUCAAUAGCAUCUUCCAUUACCAACUGUAAUAUCUGCUUUGAUAUCCAAAAGACUUGUCUUCUGCAACAAAAAUCAACUAGCACUAACAAUUAAUAAUUGUUUUGAUCUUACAAUAUCUUAACAUAAGCAUAUUAAAUUUAUAAUCUUGAUGCUAUCUUAAUUAUAGAAAUAGAAGGCAUUUUAAAUGAAAAGGUCGAUUGAAAUCUAGUAUGAGUCAUACCACUACGUUUAUUAUAUACAAAAGACGGUUAUAAUUGAACAACAAAAAUACUUAAAAGAUAAUUUGAAAUUUACAAAUACGAUGAAUGUGUUUAAAUCAAAUAUAAUAUCCUAACAAAUCUGUUCUCCAUCAAUUAUAUCUUCAGAUUUAACUCAUGACAUGACAUAAUGAUUGUUUAAACCAUGUAAUUGAUUCCACCUAGUAAGCUACAAGAUUUUGAAAUCUAUUUAAGCCCUAGCUUAUUUAGGCACAUGGUGGAUAAAACAUGAAGUUACAUAAGUAAUUAUGGUAAAUGAUUCUUGAUAGCACCAUCAUCCAAGUGAAACUGAAAAGAAAGCUAUUUUGUUACAACUUUCUCAUAAACAACCAGGAAGAAUAAGUUUUGGAUAAAAGCUAUGAAAAAAUUACAUCAUAUCUCUUUUAUUUGUUUAUUUCUCAUAACAUCAAACAAAUAACCGUAUAGGCAGUAAACUAAGCAUAGUUCAAUUACAGUAACUGACUUGAAAAUUUUGAAAUACAAGAUAGAGAAUUAAUUUACCUUAACCAACCUCUUCUCUUAAGCUGAAAUACAUUAUCAACCAAAUUCAAAAUAGGGACACUCACGUUAGGUGGAGUCCACUGCAAAAAUGGUUAAAGUAAGUGUCUGCAAUUAAUGUUUAAAUCUAAGCAUACAAACAAUGAUAAGUAACAAUAAUUUAGCAUAUUAUACCCUUGUCAACAAAGAUGUGAAGUGCAGAAACAUACCUCAGGUGGCACUCUAACUCGAUCCUCCAAAUUAUCAUGAGCCGGAGUGAAAUUUGUAGGUGGAAGAUCCUUGCCAACCCUACUUUCCAUUGUUGAGUCAUUUUUUCUAUCUGGAUCCAAGAUGGUAGACUCUUUACUAUGGUUUAUUACCUGUGGUGAACAACCCUUUGAGUUCAAGUCAUUGUCAAAACGCCACCUAAUAUCUUCUGAUAUUUCACCAUCAAAAUUAGUUUCUUUGUCACCUUCUUCAUUAUCAGAGGUUGCUGCACUUUCUGCAGAAAUCUGCCUAGAAAUGCUACUAUCAAUUUCAACAUUAGUAUUCCAGGACGUGUUCGAGUUCCAUGCGGCUGAUGCACAAGUUUCAGCAGUAGGGGGCGACGAACCAACGACCUUUUGUAAGAAACCACUUGACACACCUUUAAACUGGCGCAUAAUAUCAUCAACAGCAUCAUCAACGUUUACUGCAAAUAUAUAAAUUAGUUCAAAACAUUACAUACGGAAUUAGUAAUACAUAGGACACGCCCAAUCUAAAACCUUAGAUUAGGAUUUAAUUUAAUAUGAUGAAAAAGCAACGAGUGGCUGAUGAAAGGUUCUGAAAAAAUGGCACCUUAAAUUUCAGUACAAUCUUCUGAUUAAGCCAUUAAUGGAAACACUAUUCUAAUUUCAGGAUAUGUAAAAAUUCAUUAGGAGGAUUUUCUAAAAUAAAAUAAAGCUAGAUUUAAUAACAACAAACGAAUAUCCAUAUUAAAUAAUAACAAACGAAUAUUCAUAUUAAAAAAAAUAUAUUGCAAUAAAAAUUCCACAACUCAUUCACCAUUAUAAUAGCAAAAAGAGAACCCAAUUCAUAACUGCAACAAACAUUCAAAAUUUUAAAACUAUAUAUACCUGCUAAGGUUCUCAUCAUUGAUGAAGAUUGUCCAAAAGAAUAGUUCUUCGGUCAAAGGAUACGAACAAAAAAUAGUUUGUUAGGUUGUUAUCUUUCACAUUGUGCCAAUAAAACUCGCUAUUAUGAAGUUAUGGUAAGAAUUCUAGGAAGAUGCAGACCUUUGAGGAAGCACUCAAAAAAUCCCAUACUUCAUGUUGUUCAGCAACAUUAGGUAUUGAUAGGAGAUCCUAAAGCGGAUGCAUUAAUCUAGUUAUUGGAAAAUUACAAAGGAAAUAUUUCUUUAAAGAGUUGUAGUCAAGGAAUGAGAAUACCUGGAGAUAUUUAUCCAGUCGAAUACAACGUUGAUGGACAAAGGCAUCCUCUAUGCUUGAGGAAAAUAUCCUUUUUGGAGGCAAUUGUAGCGUAUAAUUAGGAAUUUCUUUUAGAUAUCUAUGCAAGCGCUCAAAAUUCCUGUAUCUGAAUGUUAACAAAAAGAAAGUUUGGUUAAUUGAUGUCAGGCCACAAAUAUAAAUAGGGAAUGAUUUUGAAACUCAUCAUAUGCAUUCACUUUGUUUGGAAAACAUAAAAUUUAAAACGACUAUGGCAUAUGCACUUAAACUAUUAUAGAAAUGAAUGAAAGAAGCAAACUUUCUACCUUCUUUUUACAAACCAUGUUUUCUCUAUUCCAUCAGUCACUGCAAUUGAAUAAACAGCAAAAGAUGUAGACCCUAGUUUCUCAAAAUAUGCUCCUAUUACCUACAACAUACAAGUAGCAAUAAAUAACAAUCGAACUAAAUAAAAACAAGUAUUCGUGGUGCAAAGAAGUUCCAUCUAUAAAACCUAAAUUAGUUGUUAUUUGUAAAAGCAUAUAACAAUCAAAUUCAUAGGCAAUUUGAAAAUAGUAUAUAUUUUAUUAGCUAUAACUUUUACAAUCUAAAUUGCAUACCCGACAUCGAGGCUUUGGAACAGAUUGUCCCUCUCUUCUAACAGCAGUGUCAUAACCACUCUUAACACGAGUGAUCUCACCAUGCUUCUCAUUUUCUGAGAUAUGUAACUCUGACAUUGUGGACCCUGCUUUAACAGGUUGGAUUUCCAAGCCAGAAGUGCUGUUGGAUCUCAUGAGUGUUCUUUUAUACUUAUUGGAAACGGGAUCCUUCAUAUCCUUCACUUCAUCAAUUCGAUGUCCGGCUUCAAGAGAUGACUCCUUGUCCUGGUUUGGUGAAGAUUCUGCUCUUUGUGGGCUUCCAGCAUAAAACUGGGGAUCUAAACUGGUUGUAUGUACUGGAUAAAGUGAAGGCUUUCCUUCUGAAUUCUUUCUCGUUUUGUAAUCCCUUCCUUUUGUCCACAAGUUCUCAAGAUUUUCAGGCAUAAGAACUUCGGUUCUUCUUUGAGUUGCGGCGUCCAGCAAUUGUGCCCAUUCUGCAGAGGCGGGAUGAUUAUCAUGUCCACCUCCAGAAGCAACAGAAUGGCCAUGAUUAUGAGUGGAUAUAUUAGUUGACUGACCACCAUUACCACCACCAGUCAAAUUUGCACCAUCAUCGUUAAUGACAAGUAGAACAGACUCAAUAAUCUCAUUGAUGUACCUGAGCAUUAAGAAAAGUAUAUUUUACAAAUGAAAUUACAUUGAAUUGUAAAAAAAUAAGGGGGAAAAAUGGUCCAAACUAUAACACCAUUUGCAUUUUGUGGUCCAAUAACUUACUGCUAAAGUUAUAGAAUGUGAUAAUAUUUUUAAACAUUCAAUUUUGUUUAGCAGGGAAUUGAUCAUUGCAAAUGAUGCAUGGGAAACACCGAAAAGACUCACUAUUAGCCUCAUUAUUAAGUCUUAUUAGACUUCUUCACAAAUAUGUUGUUAUCAUGAACUAAUUUUGCCUCGUGUGUUCUUGCUGAUCCUCUUCCUAUCGGCAUGGUGAUACCAAAUAUGCCCAAUCCUCCUAAUAUUUCUCCAUUUGGCCUCUGCUUACUUGUUCAAAUUUGUUAAACUUGUCGCUUCUUAUAAGUUCUAGCUACAAACCUAUAAUAUAUACCAAGGCCAAUCCAAAAAAUCCUAACACCUCUGACCCUCAAAAGUACCAAAUAAAGAGGCAAUCAAACACAGUAAGAAUUAUUAUAGCUAAUCUUUCUAACAAGAGAAGCUCAAAGUAAAUGAAAAAAAUGAGAUCAGAUAUUCAACAACAUACGCAGGGCUAGCCAAGUUCAUAACAGGUUGCAUCACCAAGCAAGUCAAAAUUUCCCGGGCUAUAGAUCGAAUUACAGGACAUUGAGCUUCUUGUGGUCUCAGAAUUGUAGCUAAUACCCCACUCAUUAGCCGCUGAAGAACCUAUAAAAGGAGAAACUAUAAGAAAAAGUAUGAGACAUAUUUCUCAAAAAUAGACAACAUGGGACACUGUACUCACACCUUGUACUCACUCUCUGGAGAUAUUAGUGCUGGAUGGAGCUCCUUAGAAUUCAACAAAUGCAACCUCAAUCUUUGAUCCCUUUCCUCAGAAGAUAGCGUUAGCAUAACAUUAACACCAAUGGCUGCUUGGUUUCUUCUAAAAAGGUCUAUGUGAUCACCUAUUAAAUCAACUAUGUCCCUGGAAUGUAAGCGAAAUAGAACUUACUAACUUGCACAUAAUGACUAGAAGCAAGUAUAGAAGGGGAUAAAAUCAAACACCUUGUGAGCAAGUCGACAAGGUUCAUGUCUUUAACCCUCAUUGUCACUUCAGCAAUAGCAUCCAUGAUUAUAUCACGUAUCUGCUCAGGAAACUCUAAAUCCGGAGUGAUGUCUGCAUACCACAUAUUCAUGACGAAAUCUUUCAAUAUCAAAUCCAAAAAAUCAUUCAAGGCGGCUUCUAUGAGAGGAGAAUCGAUCUUUUUCCUCCAUUUCGGCGGUGGAGGCGAAGUAGAGAGGCGUGCAUCGUCUAUGGACAACUGUUUCCUCUCCAAAUGAGAAAGAUAUGUGUGCGGUUUAGGCGGUUCGAGCCUCCAUCGAAAUUCUACCUUGUUCAAGAGAAUACGCAGAGCAACAACACACAAAAUAGCGACUGGUACAUUCAUCCACAUUGAUUUACUCGUAUCUAUUUUGAGAAUCGAAGAACAUGAUAUGAUAACAAAUGUGAAUCAAAGACCAAAUCUAUAGGCAUUAUAAAAGAAAGAAAUGAAAACGGAAUGCAUGGCUUACUAGUUAAGAAAUAGGAAAUGGCGAAUACGCAAAGAGACCACCAGAGAAAACGAAGUUUUGCCUCUUCAAUGAGAUCGUAGAUGUCAUCCAUUGAUGGCAUAUCUUUAACCAUCUUCUUCUUCGUCUUCGUCUUCUUCUUCUCUGUUAUUUCCCUCUGAAAUAUAUUACGUAUAAAGUCGCAGCGAUAACCUCGCUCUUUUGUUGGCUUUGAAGGAGUUCACUUUGUCCACCUAAUCUAAUAUUAUACUUAUUAAUUAUUAUUCAAUUAUUUUCUCCCUUUUUUAAUGUAAAAGAUUAUCCACUUAACAUUAGUUAUCAAAAACAAUAAAUGUAAUUAAAUAAUUAUAUAAAACAUUUUAUAAGCACGUGAAAAUCAAACUCCCAUUAGUUUGUGAUUACUUUUGUUAAGUUAUCGGUCAGAAAGUGGUGCUGUUAACAUCAACGCAAUCAAAGACAUUUUAAUGAAUGGAGUAAUAACAUAUAUUAAGUUGUGUGUUACUUACUUACUUUAUGUGGAUAACUUAGAAGUUACAACUAAAUAAUCAGUUUACAUAGUUUUAGCCAAAGAUAGUGUUCUUAAAAGGGAAUAUAUGGGCUGCUACUAUUAGUAAUUUGGUAAUUUCAAAGUUCAAAAAUACGUUGAACGUUCCUUGAAAUAUUCAUCUAUGUAAUUUUUAUAUUUUACAUAUAACUUCCACUCAAUAUAUCUUUUUCUUAUUUUAUAUUUUUAAAUAAAACAAAUAAUUUAUCAUUUAUAUAUUAAUAUAAAAAGAAAUAUUUUAGAAAGAAAAUGAAAAUAACAGUCUGGUAAAAAAAUAUAUCAAUAGCACCGAAUAACCAUCAAUCUGACAGAACUUUAUUAGCCGACUGACCGCCAACCUACCAACCAACCACCUAUGAUAUACAUUGACCAUGGACUGGCUGACUAUUCGUUGAAAGACUCAAACCAACUGUUAAUGUCGACUGAGCGACAACCCGACAACUUAUCUUAUCCAAUUGGCCAACCAAGCUCGAGUGGCCAAAGAUCAUCCAAUGAUCAAUAUCCACCAACGAUCAACGACUAGCUACCUCCUAAUCUUGAUUGAUCUGCCAUCAUCUUUCCGAUACCGAAUUAGCCACAGUUUACCUACCUACCGUUCGUGCAUGUCGACCGAUGAUCACCCGUCGACCUAUUUGACCAACUGCCUGCCGACUGACUACCUAUUCCAAUUGAUUUAUUGCGCCUUGACCAACCACUUAUUGAUCUACCUCGAUCUAUCGAUCCACUGCCAACCUACCUGACUUAUUGUUGUACGACUAGCCCACAUCGAACUACUACUGAUUGGCCUCGGUCAACACAGACAACUGACCUAUCACUGGUCGACGUCGAUAGAACAACUCAGUCGAUCAUCAAACAACACUUGGUGACCUAAUCUGCCAAAACUCUAAUAGAGUGUUAGGCAACCCCAAACUAUGAAAGUUGAUUCCAUCUCCCAUCCUAGGAUGUCUGUCAUUUGACCAUAAGUGACUCCUUGGGUCACAAUAGUUUUUGGCCCUGGUUUUGCUAGGCUUAUUAGAAAUUUUGUUUCUACGGUCUUUUUGUACUCUCCCUUAGUCCGGUGAGUAUUUUGCAAUAUAUUAUAGGACUAUGAUUAAGUCCGUGUAGGGUUGAUGCUAUUGACAACACUAUUGUUCCGAGGGUUACUUGAAACGUUGAUUUUGGCUAAACGUGAGUCCAGAUCCCUUAGUAUGGCAGCGUCCGAUCUCUUAGGUGGCGAGGUGCCGCCUGUCCGAGUUUCUCGUGAGGAGGUGGGGAGGUAGUACUUACAAGAGACUCCGAUACUUAAGUUAGCAAGGGAUUUAGACAAAUUUUUAGUAGAUUAGAACGUGUGUAAUACCUUGGAAGAGGGGGGUGCUUGUGUAUUUAUAAUAAAGUUGAUAACUACUUUUGUUGAAGUAGUUCUAUUUUUUCUGACGGAUAACCAUUUCCUUUAUCUUUGGAGUUUAUUGGAAUCUAUCUUUUAGAAAAGAUAGAGAUAGUAGAAAAGAUUUCUGGAGAUAGUUACCUGUCUUGGGCAAGUAGAGAUUAGCCUCCUUAUGUCGGUGUCCAUCUGUGACUUGUCGAACAGGCCACUUUUUUUGGUGGGCCUUUUUAUCUUAUUGAGCCUGAUUUUUAUUGGGAUAAGAUAUGAAUAACUAUAUAUUUUUUUCUUUUUUUAAUUUGAUAAAAUUUGUAACGUUUAUUACAAAAAAGUUAGAUACCAUUAAUUUUUUUAAAAAAUUAACAUAGACAUACAAUUUAUUUAAAAAAACUUAUAAUUCCGAAAUAUUGGUAUGGGCAAAAUUACUAGUGUGUAUAUAUAUAAUUUCGUUUAUUUUUUCAACAAAAUAAUAUAAUCAGUCAUUAAAUAUGUCAUUCAUAGUUGAAUAAUAAUUUUUUUUAUGAAUAUUAAAUAUACACCUCUAUACCAUGGAUGUGAUCUGUGAACAUAUAUUAUUGUGGUAAAAAACAUUCUUUAAGCUUCUGCUUUAAACAACAUUUUUUUUUGGGUGGAGUCCUUUAAACUACAUUUUUUUUUAUACAGAUGGGAUUAUAAACCAAAAUCCAAAAUUAGCACUAAAUUUGUUGAUUAAGAAAGACCAAGUCAACGAAUUAAUGGUCAUUAGGUGGUUCUUAAUCUGUUUUAUACAUAGAGGUUGGUUUGUUCAUAUGACCGUGGUCACAUACAACAGUGAAUAGAUUUUCUCUUUUUAAUAUGGCUAAAAUAGGAAGAGGAUUGCUAAUUAUUUGUUGUUUAGCUAAGAGUAAUUCCAAUAUAUUCGGAACCAAAAGUAGCUAAUAAACUAUUUUUUGCUCAAUAUAAUACCCACUCCUUUCAUCAAUUAUUUUACACUUUUCCAAUAAGCAGCCUUGGAGGGCCUUCCAAGGUUGGUCGGUCAUAACCAUGGCUCAUCAUCAUCACCCUAAAUUAUUAGCUUCUUCUUUUCUCAUCCUCUUUACUUUCUCUUCUCUUUCAACAUUUUCACAUGCACACUUUCUUCUAGAAGAACUUCAUUUCAACAAUGAGAGGCUUAAGAAUGCCUAUGUUGCUCUCCAAGCAUGGAAACAAGCUAUCUACUCUGAUCCUUACAACACAACCGCUAAUUGGGUUGGCAGCGAUGUUUGCUCCUACAAUGGCGUCUUCUGCGCUCCCGCUCUCGACGAUCCCUCCCUCGACGUCGUCGCCGGCAUCGACCUUAAUCAUGCUGACAUUGCCGGACACCUUCCCGGAGAGUUAGGCCUCUUGACCGACUUGGCGCUUUUCCACAUCAAUUCCAACAGGUUUUGCGGAAUCGUACCUCCAUGCAUGGAGAAUCUAACCCUCAUGCACGAAUUUGACAUAAGUAACAACCGAUUCGUUGGUGGAUUUCCCAACGUGGUUCUCAAAUGGUCAGACAUGAAGUAUCUGGAUCUUAGAUACAACGAUUUCGAAGGGUCUUUGCCGCCGCAACUGUUCGAGAUGGAUCUGGAUGCAAUCUUCUUGAACAAUAACCGUUUCACCUCUGUUCUCCCUGCCACUCUCGGCAAAUCCAAGGCUUCGGUUAUUACUUUCGCUAACAACAAGUUCACAGGCUGCAUUCCGAAAUCGAUUGGAAAGUUGAACAAGUUGAAUGAGAUUCUCUUCAUGGGGAACAAACUGGGUGGUUGCUUCCCUCAAGAGAUUGGAAUGAUGGAGGAUUUGAAUGUUUUGGAUCUUAGCGACAACAAUUUUGUAGGUACUCUGCCUAACAUGACGGGUUUGCAGAACGUGGAGGUUAUAGACAUUGCAAGGAAUGAGCUUAGCGGUUAUGUGUCUGAUUCUGUUUGUCAAUUACCUUCUCUGAAGAACUUCACUUACUCUGAUAAUUACUUCAACGGGGAAGCUCCAGCUUGUGCUGUUGCUGUUGCUGCUUAUAAGGGUUCAAUUAGUACAACUGUUUUUGAUGACUCAGGAAAUUGUUUGACUGGAAGGAAGAAUCAAAAGAAAACUAGGGUGUGUUUGCCGGUACUAACUCGGCCUGUAGAUUGUAGCAAGGCUUGUGGUGACGGAGAAGGAGGUGGUAAUAAUAAUAAUAAUAAGGCCCCCUCGUUAACACCGAAAAAGUCACCUCCAAAGCCAAAGGUUAGUAAACCACAUUCACCACCACCACCAUCACCACCACCACCAGUUAGUUCUCCUCCUCCUCCUCCAUCCCCUGUUUACUCACCACCACCACCACCUACAUACUCUCCUCCUCCUCCUCCACCAGUGCACUCUCCACCGCCACCAACUCAAUCACCUCCCCCACCACCACCAGUUUACUCUCCCCCACCUCCAACUAUGUCACCUCCUCCUCCACCCCCAGUGUUCUCUCCACCACCACCAACUCGGUCACCACCACCUCCCCCAGUUUACUCGCCACCACCACCAACUUACUCACCUCCUCCUCCAACCCCAAUAUACUCACCACCACCACCAACUAAGUCACCUCCUCCACCCCCAGUUUACUCGCCACCACCACCAGCAUGGGAUGAUGAUGUCGUCCUCCCACAACACUUUGGAUCUGCAUACAGGUCACCUCCUCCACCGGCUAUUAUUGGAUACUAAGAAAGAAAAAAAAAAUGUACAAUGCCAUUAACAUCUUUGUCCUAUUCACUGUAAUAUCAAAAACAUGUACACAAAGUUGAAGUUCGUGAAUGUGAAUCCAAAUUUAACUGAAUCUUAAUGCUAUUUUAUAUUAAUGUUAAUGCAGCUUUCUCUGUUUCUCGUUCCCGUUAUUUUUUAUCCCGUUAGGCCGUUAAUACAUCCGUGUCUUUCGAAUAACUAACUUUCAAAUAAAGUUGAAAAAAGAAACGAGAAAUGAUACGUAGUUUGAUUGUUUUCUGGACCUACGUGGAAAUGUUGUAAAGACUUUUUACUAUGUGUUGCAAGGUUAAAACGACGUCGGUUGGUGCGUGGCUUUUCCCAUACGCCGAAAACACUUGAAAGCGACACAGUAUGCUUUCUUUCUUCUUCCUCCGAUCCCAAUCCAAAACGAAACCAACGUAACAUACUCACCGCUACCAUUUCCACCAUCGCAUGAAUCUCACUCUUAAUUUCAAUCCCUAUUAAGAAAUUCGAAGUAGAAAUGGAUGAGAAAACGCAGCCUCUCAACAAGAAAAACGACGACGACGAGGAAGACAAAGUAGUCGCUGAACGACAAGAGCCCAAUCCGCCAGCUGCCACCGGAGGCUGGGGAUUUUCGUCCUUCUCCUUUCUCUCCGAUCUUCAGAAGGCCGCUGCCGUUGCCGCCGAAGAGAUCUCUCGCAAUGUGCGUAUCGAAAUCAAAUGUCGCUUUUGCUUGCGCCUCCAAUGCAUUUUCUUUCAAUCCGUGAUUUUGUUUUCGAUUUGUUGUUCCAGUUAUGGUUCAAUUCCAAUUAUAAGCUACGGUUUUUGUAUUUAACAUUUAAGAAGCGUCCAUUGUUUAGAUCCAUAGGGCAGAAGUAGUUAGUAGAACUUGUUACUUAUUAUGCAAAUGGGGGAUUCUAAUAUAUGUUGAUUUAGGUACUAGUAGAGUAUGUCAUUUUUGAAGUCUUUCCAGUUUGCAUAGCAUUUCGAUGCUUCCGGGGAACACUAUAUUAGGGUUUAUAGGUGUCAACAUAAAAUGAAAACGUGGGAAUUGAAGUGAAGGACAUUAAAUUGCAGUGUCUUUGGUAACAGGGCAAAAAUAUAUGUGUGCCUAAAUUGGUAUUUGCCAAUGACUAAUGCUAUAUGUUCAUAAUCCUAUAUGUUUCAGUUGGUGAAAGAUAUAAUGUUAAAUGAAAAAUUAGAUGCAUUUAUAAUAUGUAGAGUGUUACAAUAUAUUUUGAUACUUUAAAAGUGUUUAGGAUGAAUUUGGUACGAGGAUUCAGAUUUAUUCACUUGGAAUUGGUCAUGGUUUCAAAAUGCAGGCUGCUGCAGUUGCAGAGACAGCUUCAAAGAGCUUUGCGGAGUUGCAUGACGGUGCUGAGGAUUCAGAACCAGAGAAAGAUGCUGCUGGAGAAUCUCCUACUGAAAAGGAAAGUGAUGAUGAGGAUGACAAAUUGAGAAAAUCUGCGCUGGAUAAAUUGGAGAAAGCUAGUGAAGAUUCAUUACUUAGCCAGGCAAUAAUAAAAGGAUUACUUUCCCUUUUCUUUUCUGGGAGGAUGGGGUUGGGAUUGUUAAUUUGUUAUUUAGAUGUCAGAUCUUCAAUGCAUUUCCAUAUAAGACCAAUUUUUAGCAAUCUUGUCUGCCUGUUUAUGUGGAAUCUCAUGUCUCUGCCAUGAGCAAAUAUGCAAGUUUCAUGUUCGAAGUCCCUUUUGUUUAUCUUUCAAAAUUGACGUUUUAGAGGGGAAGGGAAGAAAUUUACUCUUCAAACCUUUCCGUUCCUUUUCUUUUGCUCCAAGACCCCAACUCACAAACACCCCUUUGUGAUCCCCGAGACUAGUGGUUUGUGAAGCUUCUAGCGUAUCCUUUUUAUGGGUCUCCACCUGAAAGUUUUGGUUUUUGUCUCAUACUGUCUUGACUAUUUAAUUAUAGGCAACAUUGAUGAGAAAGAUAAUUGACAAUUUAAGUUGCAAAUUUUUAUUAGGGACAAAUAUUAGUUUUGUUUGUGGAUGUUUAUUGUAUGCUUUGUCAAUAGCUUUUUCUUGUUUCUUUGUGCUCUUGUAAGGAGGGUCUCUUGUCCUCCUGUCAUCUUGCAUCUUAAUUCUUUUUGUCUUAAUUAUAUUCAUCUUUUAUUAAAUAAAAUAAUUAUGCACAUUGCACUAAGUGCUUAUAGUUAGCUCCAUUUUGAGUGCAGAGCUUGAAGGUUUUUGAUAAUUCUGUUGAGACAUUUGCUUCUGGAGCAUGGACUGCCUUGGGAAACGCAUGGAGAGGGAGCACUGAAUUGGUUCAGAGGUAUGAUUUAUCGCUUAUAGGUCAUUUGCUCUUGACAGAUACUUCCAUAUAUUUUGAUGGAAAUAAACAUCUAUUGUUGAACGUGUAAAUAGUGUAUUAUGAUGUUUACCUUCACUUUAGGAGGGAAAAUGAAAAACAUAAGCCAGAUCUAUAAAUGGUUUCUGUGGUUAUUUGUUUUGCAGUGGUCAAUGCAUUGGUCUUGUUCUAUACAGAAAAUAUUAUAGAUUUAUCCUUUUUCUAGUUCCAAUUCUCAAUGCCACUCAUCUAUGACUGUUCAGGAUUAGCAUCCUAUGAUUAAUGAAUUCUGACUUAUUAUUUUCAUCUCUGUUCUUAUGGGAUACACUGAUUUUCAUUCUCUUGGCUUAGUGUUUUGUGCUGUGAUUUGACCUGUAUGAAUUAUGGGUGUAGGAUAGGGAUACAAGUAUACAAUAACUAGUUUACUAAUCAUAUCGAUAUUUAAACAACUCCUAAAAUCUAAAUUUGUUGAAUCUCUGUUAAUAGUUUCACGUAUGGUUUAACAAUGACUAAUAAGGUUUAUAUGAUGGAAACACAGUAUUCCUUAAAUUUUCUUUCAGUCAUGUCUCUAUUAAAGUAGCAUAAAACUACUAGACUAAGUAGUGCCUCUUCUAAUCUUUUGGUUUUUUCUCAAAUAUGCUUUCCUUCUCUCUCUUCCACCUUUCUAUUUGUUUUUCGUUAGUGUAUGGAUUUGAAGCAUAUUCUGCACACCGAGAAAAGCUUUUCAUUGUGUGGAAGAUAUGGCCUUUUGCUGUUUUCUUGCAAUUUGUUCCGAGUCUUUGAAUACUUUAAUAACAUCAUGAGGGACAUGGUUGCUUUGGAUCAUAUAAAUUUUUUCCUGUGUAACUGCUACUAAUAUGGAUAAUGGCUGUGAUCCCUGAUCACUAGGCUUGAGAAUUCAGCAUCAAACCUUGCAGGAUCCGUACAACAAGGUGGGCCUCCAGGUUCUAAUGCAACUUCCCUAUUAGAGGUUUGAAAUACUCAUGCCAAUCUUCUGAUGAUAUUCGUCAAUCGUUAUCAUUUGUCACUAGUUAGUAGUUACAUAGUUACACACUGUAUGUAUUUGUUGUGUUACAGACUGGAAAAGCUUUUACUGCAAAGGGAAUGCAAGUGCUUGAAUAUGUUGGUAAGGAGACAAUGGACCUAUUAAUCAGUGAAACUGGAAUUGAUGUUGAGAAGCCUAAUACAGAAGGUGGAGAACAAAAAGAUGAGGAUCAAUUAUCAGAGGAAGUGACAUUUGAUCGAUGCUUUUACAUUUAUGGAGGUCCGGAGCAGUUGGAGGUAAACCUUAAUGAUGUUGAAUUUGGUUGUUUAGAUUUUGCUUUUUGGAAAAUCAUUUCACAUGCAAUACUCUCAGGAACUGGAAGCUCUGUCUAGUCAUUAUGCCCUGUUGUUUAACCGAAGAAAAGCAAAGUUAUCAGCAGAGCAAAAGUCUGUAUAUGAUGGGAAACUGAAAGAGGUCCAACAAAUUUUUAAUUUGAGUACUGAAAUGGAUGGAACCAGUGCUGAUUUAAACAAAGGAAAGACAGUAAAGAGAGAAAAUGAAGGAAGCGGUGAUGAGAUGAAGAAUUUACAUGAUUCAAGUGUCAACAAGGCUGCUGAAAUGGCUGCAGGGUAACUUAAUCAUUCCAUGAUAUUAAUAUUGUGUUUAAUUUUGAUGCAUCAACAGUGUAGAAGUGUUGCCCUGUCGUCCAAUUAAAUUCUUUGGUUGAUCAGAGCAUUAAAGUAGUGGGUAAGAAAAAAAAAAUAGAAAAAGGACUUGAAAAAAAUAUUUGUGUGAAAAAAAGAAGUAAAAUGAAAUUACAAAUGUACUUCAUGGAAGUAGGGUAAGAAAAAGAAUCUGUCAUACACCUAAACAUCUUGGAGAAGUGUAACAUCCCAAAAUUUUUGGAAUCUAAUUCUAAUUAAGAUUACUUUAUUAAAUUAGGGAUGAUUAUAUUCUAUAUUUGUUUGUUAAUAAUAAUUAAAGUGGUCCUUCAGAAAUACACAACGUUGCUAAUUUGAAUGUUUGGAAGCGCAAUAAUAUUAAGCACAGACUGAAGGUCAUAGGAUUAUUGAAAGCGGGCCAAGGAAUUUCUAUUGCUUCUUGUAUGUGACGUUAUAAAAAGCACUCUUUUGUGUUACCCCUCCUAAUUAGUUCUGGUUUUUUAUUCAUUUGUGUUCACUGCAUAAGUAUGCUUGCCAUUUUUCCCUAUUGAUUGAGGAAGCCUGCUUUGAUUUGUUAAUGUAUGUGAUGAAUCCUGUUGCAUUUUUUUGCAGUUUUACGAAUGUGUUGGCUGGGCUAGCUGUUAAUGAUAUAAUUCAGAGAACUACUGGAAGAUUAGAAUCUCUUCAUUCUGAGGGAGUUCAUGUAUGCGAACAUACUCUUGAAUUUGGUGUCAGAAUUUGAAUAUCAUCUAUAAAAUUCAGUUUUAAUUUUUCAUUUGUGUUUAUUUUAUAAGUGAGAAAAAUCAAAUUUGCUGCUUUCCUUUGCAGAGACUAUCUGAAAUGUGCUGUUUUUCAGUUUCUCAACUUCUAAUGCUUGGCAAAUCCAUCAUUUCUUGUGCCAACAAAAUCGAGGAUGGAGAAGUUGAUGAAGAUAAGGUGAACAUAGAGUGGCCUGAAGAUGUUUCUGCCAAAGCCAAGAUCAUAAGGUUAAAUGCCCAGACAAUGAUAGGAUACGUGGAAGCAGUUUCGAACAGUUUUAUUACAGGUUUGUUUCCUAAAAAUAAUUAAGGCCCACUUCUAACUAGAAAAUAGUAAAGCAUAUAUUUUUUUUAAAGAAAUGGAUAUGUCCAUAUAUCUUGGACUUCUAUUUAUGUUAUGAUAUGAGAUAUUAAUAUUAAUUAUGAAAUAUAAAAAGAUAUGGCAAAACUUAUAUCCAAGACUGUUUUGUGUAAAAAACGAACGUUUGUUUGCGUACACAUUCUCUUUAGAUACCAAAAGGAGUUAUGUUUAAUCAGAACCUGUUUGUUGUUGCCGUGAGGCCAUGUGAAACGGAUGUGUCCAUAGCACCUCCUGACAUUUGUUUGCAAAAGUAAUGUUAGGAAUGCCACCAACAGCGUUCUGCAGUUCAACCAAGCAAGCUAUUCGCUGAUUUGAUUGUGAUCACAAUUACAUUGUUUCUGUUAUAUUAUCAUAGUCUAGUAGUUGCUUACCGAGUCACUCUUACGAAGUUAUGCUCAUCAUUUUGCACUUUUGAUGUACAGAUUCUCCCCAAAAGUUGGUCCCUGAAAAAGCCACCACUUUCUCUGAACACCUUCGAGCUGAUCAAGCCACAGCAAUAAGCAAAAUCCAGGACGGGUUGCAGUUUCUUGCACACGUAGUCAUCUCAACCUCCAUGAAUGCUGCUUGAGAACCCCCAUGUUUUUAUUUGUAAAUAUAUUCACGGUUUAAUUCGAUAAGAGACACCACUCCACUAUGUUCAUUGAUGGUUGUAUGUUACUCGGUUCACUCUUAGCCUAGUAUCUGUACCUGGACAAAUUUGUCCUUUUAAAUUCAUUCGAACAGCAUUUUCUUUUUUAUUCUUUAAUUUAGGGAGUUUAGAAAUGCUCACUGUUCAUCAAUGCGCUUGAGGUACGUGAUUUAUAUAAUCAUGUAAUAAAAUGGUACAUUAACUAUAUAUGUAGCAGCUACAUUUGGAGCACAAGCAAUUUUUAUUUACAUAGCUUAUGUGAUGUGUUGACUAGUGAUGCACGAGUGUUAAUUUGUGUAUAAAUAAGGGUCUAAUUUUUGUUUAUUUACCUUAUUUAUUUUGGUGAUUCAAUUGGAAUCACUCAUCAUAUAAUGUUCACG